AGAGCAGAUGUGCAUGGGACAAACAGGUAGAAGAUUAUGUAAAAUAAGCAUUACUUGCUGAAAUUGAGCAGGUAAGAGCCAUGUUUCUAUUGUUUAGAGAAUUGUUUAGAGUUUAGCAAAGAAGAAGAGGAAGAGAAAGAGGAAGAUUUACUAAUAGAGUGUAUGUAACAGAGAUAAAAUCAGUUAAGAUGAACUAUAAAAUCAGAAAACCUAUGUAAAAUGCUUACUGAUUUUUUAUAUAUAUAACAAAGUCUUCACCAGAUGCCUGAAGUUCAACAGGGAUGGGACAUGUCUGAUCUCAGCUGGGAGGGAGUUCCACAGAAUUGGGUCCACAAUACUUAACGCACAGCUCCUGCUAGAUAUGAGGCAUAUGCCUGUGCAAUGGGGGACCACUAACAGUGACCUCCCUGAAGACCUCAGCGAUUGAGCAGGGACAUAAGGGAUUAGGUCUGUGUUGUAUCCCAGACCCAUGUUGUUAAGGGCCUUGUGAAUUAAUACGUGGAAAUGAGCCUGGUAGCAUAUGAGCAGCCAGUGAUCAUCCCACCCUAGCUGUGCUUAGUAAUUAUUUUGUUUUGGCACCAUUAGUUUUUCCAUGGCCAAGAGGCACACUUUGUAACGUGCAUUAAAAUGCACAUCUCAUUGAAAACAAUGCAGUGGAGAGAGCAAGCAGCAACCAUGCUCAGAUGAACAUUCCAACAGAUAUAUAGAUGAGAGCAUCUGAUUUAUGCCCUGAGACAGUUUUACAUGUCUAGAAGCCUGCGUCCGAAUAUCUAUCUUUUGAGCCGGUUUGGGGCAGCUAUCCAGGACAAUCUGAUGCCAAAGCCCAGCCAUCCUAUAUGCCACCUAAUCAUACCAGCUUGUGUUAAGUAAAAGCAGCUUAAUCAUAAUCUUAAUCCCAGGAAUGAUUUAUGUUUGCCCAAUUAUGGCUAAGCAUAUAACGGUUAAAAGUCCCUUGCAAGAGCAAGAGCCUGCAUUUGCAAGUCAUUUUUUCCGUAUGACUGAUGAGUCUUUUCAGUUUGCCUCUGUAGUUGUGGAAUUGCCAGCAGCAAUUAGAGGUGGUGAAAAGGAUCUCUGUGCAUUGAAAAGCUUUGCCUGCUACCUUGCUUGAGUAUCAACCUAUAUAGGCCAAUUGAAAAAUUGGCAAUUCUUGGUUUGGAGUCGCCCCCGCCCGUCACUUAGAAACAGGGCUGGUUCUGCCAUCCAGCACAGUGAAGCAAAUGGCUUCAGUGGAACCAGGGGGUAGGGAGAAAUAGAUAGGGACAGGGAUUUGGUCUCUGAAUUGUGCAGCAAAGCUUUUAGAAGCCUUGUUCCACUGCAGACAACAAAAUCUUUGGAGCCAGCAUGGCCAGAAAAUAAAGUCUUUGCUUGCAAUGGGAAUGAUGCCAUUUCACAAACAUCCCUCCCCACACGGGCAAUUCUAAAACUUCUCGAACAACCUUCAAAUAAUUAUAACACACACUUCUGAAUUGCACAAAGGAUUCCAGCUGCACAACUCCAUUUAUCUUUUGGAUUUGUGCAUUUUAAUUCUCCAGUGUCAUUUAUGAAAUGCAGCAGGCUGAAGCUAGACCACCUCCUCCCCCUGCUCCACUCUUACAUGUAAUAUAGAUGCGUCCCAUCUUCUUGGGAAGCAUCGCAUUAUAUACAGCAUAAUUACAUAGUACAGAAAGAGCAAAGGAAUACAGUGAAAUGGUAAUUCCUCUCAUGACAUCCCUUUCGCCGCAAGAUAGCAACAAAAGUUCCAGUAACCCUUACAGACUAGGAAAGAACUGUGAAGGUGGACUACUGGAGGCGGCAGAUCAUAUUGCAUUGUUAUUGUUGUUUAUUAGACUUGUUAGCCAUUGCUACCCAAAGCCCUCCAAGCAACUUAAAUGCAUUUGAAAAUGUAAACAUAAAUGCAUUAUACCAUUUAAAAAAUCAUGCAAAACACCUACCAUUCAUUAGUGUGUGUAUAUACAAAAUACACACAUGAGCACAAACAUACACAAUCACCCACAGGAAUCUCUGGCAGCACGCAACAUCCAUUAAAAUAAGGACCACACAUUCCAAAAGUCUGUUACGCUCGUGAUAUAACUAGUUUCAUCAGCGUUAAAGAAGUCAGUUCAAGCUCUUGCGGUUGAUAGAUCUGUGAUUGUUUUAAAUGACAUUUGAGGAUUUUAGCAAUUUUCAGUACUACCAUGCCCCAUUAUUAACCUCUGUCAGGACAAGUAUUAUCACUAGAUCAACAGGACCAGGGAUGUCAACUUGAAUAAAAUAUUAGGGGGAGGCAAGUACGCCCUACCCCACAUAAUCAAUCCCCUAUGCACCCCCUGAAUCUGUUCCAGGGGGUUCCCCAACCCUCUGGAGCAGAUUGUGGGUGGGUGGGGUGCACGCAUAGAGGCAGGAGAGAGAAGAAAGUUCCACUGCACAAAUGUAAAUCCUUGUGCUGAUAGGAUACGUUAGUUGUAUACCGCCCAAAGUUUUUGACCUCUGUACCAUUUUGUAAAUAUGCAAGAUCAGAAGUCCACUUCUGUAUUAUAGGCAGAUGUACGGUAUACAGCUGUGCAUGCAGACAUGCAAGCAUUGUAAAAUAGAAUCCCCAGUGUGUGACUAAAGCCAUAGCAGCCCAAUUAGAUUUUGCCAAAUCAUUGUAAAAGGGAUGUUAAUAAUGGAUGUCAGCAGGUGUCAUCCCAAAUCAUUAUGCUGCCCGAGAGGGACAAGAUGAUGACCAUUCUUUGUCCAAUGCACAAAUGCUGAAUGUACUGGCAACUGAAUCUUACUUCCACACAUGAGGCGGCAGGGCAGAUGAAGCAGCCUAGGAGAGACCAUGUGGCAACAGGGCAGAAUAGUGGGGAACUUAAGAGGAACAGCUGCUGCUUCCCCUUAGCCAGGCCAGACUUUAUGAAGGCCGUUAUUAUGAAACCUUCAGGGCACUCAUACACAUCAUCAUCUAAAGAACGGCCCCAGAAGACUAUUAUGUUCAGAGCCUAAAAUUAUUCAACUGUACCAAUGUAUCUAUGCUUUCUGGCCCUGUGCAUGGUGGUUCUGACUGCAGCAACUUGUCCAUCUGGUUUUCAAAUCUUGGGGAACCUCUGGGGAUUGUAACUAAGGGGUGAUCUCACAACAAGGCGCAGAAGGUUUUUGUUUGUUUGUUAUUGUUGCUUUAUGUCAAGAGGACAUGCUGAAGAAAUAGGUGGAUUCAGAAACAUUUGCUUUCAGGGGGCAUAGGAAUGUAUUCACAUGUUGAGAAAUUUAAGGUUGGUUUUUCAAAGUAAGCCUGUGGCGUUUCUGUAGGCCAUUUGAUCAUUCCUCUAUUUUUAAUCCAUUGUUCAUUAAAAAUAUGCUACAAGUGUCAAGAUGCCUCACCUCUACUUCCUCCUUUAUCAAGCAGUAAAAAAAGAUCAGGCUGCUCCACAUUUAUUUAGGUUGGAGUUGUUCAAAUGAAUUCAAGGUACCUGCAUUCCUAGACCUUAGCUCCUUUUAAAAGAUUGGGCUCUUCUUCAAUUAUCCAGGUUGGUGUUUUCAAAUGACUUCAUGCCAUCCACAUUCCUAAGCCUCAGCUCCCAGACUUCACAGUAUUAUCAUUGACAUUAAUGCCAAGAUGCUGUAGUGGAUACAGCAGGGAUGGGAAACAUGCAUAAAGCCCUUCAGAUGUUGUGCUUCAGCUCUCAUCAGCCUCAGCCAACAUGACCAGUGGUCAUGGAUGACAGUAGCUGUACUGCAUCAUCUUCUGAAGGUCCACACAUUCUUCAUCCCUAGGAGAAAGGAAGAAUCAGCCAUGAUCCAGUCAGCCACAGACUGGCAUCAUUCUACCCAAUUGUUGAAUAAGAAUAAAAAUAACAGGAUUAUUGUGAGGAUAAUGUGGUGCAGGUCCCACAAGAUGUGAUCAAUUUUUAGCUUUCCCCCCUCAUGCCCCUUUAGUGAUCUGAAACAAAAAUGAUCCAAACAGUCACAAAACAUAUAUCGAAUGAUCAUUUAUAUUAAGCCAAAAGUCAAACAAUGAGCACUCCAACUUCCCUCUUUUUUCUUCAUGGGAAUAAUGCUUGCCAAAAUCUUCACCACGUGAAAUUUUAUUUAUUACAAUUGUUAUUUAUAUGUGUAUGUGCUAGCCUUCUGCUCGACAAUAGGCCUCCAUGGUGCAUAAAAAUAAGAUAAAAUUAAAACACAAUAAAUGUAAGCAAUAUUUAUUAGAGGAGAUGCUAAAAUGCCCCACCAAAGCAUGAGAUAUGCAAACAGCAAAUGAAUUCAAUGAUAAUAACACAACAGAAAUUAGAAAGAAGACCCUACCCAGUGUACAACCGGUAUCAGGUUUCAACGAGAGAAGCAUUUCCAUCCAUUAUCUUCUAAUGUGUCCAGCUGUCACUGACACACCCCUCCUGUUCCCACUAGAGGAGUUAGAGAAAGAUGAUGCUACCCAGUCUAUGAAUUCCCCACUAACCAUAGUUAAAUAGGAAAGGUGACAACACUGCUUUAGUCUCAAACCUGAAGCGAUGACCUCAAAGGGAUUAACCCUUUGGAGGUGGCCUGCCAGUUCUAGGCAAAUGAGAAAUGGCACUUGAGAAGUGUGCUUCUACCAGGAUGCUUCUAAUAGCACUGGAUUAUCCUAUCUCUAGUUCAUAGGUUUUCUCCUUGCCUGCAGAGCUAAACACCACCACCAUCUCUUUCUGUGUUGAUUAACAAAGGCAUUAGGAGUGAGGACAGGAAAUGACGAUAUAAAAUGAGCUCCCCCUGCCCUUAGAAGUUGCUAUUGCUAUUCUUUAACAAGUCUGCAUCAGCCAUGGAGGAAAUAGUUCCCUCUACUAGAAGUGGACUACUUAGAAACUAAGGUCAAGUAGCACUGGAUAUUUGCAGUCUUCUGGGUUCUCUUUGUCCAGAUAGCUGGACAGUCUGAAGCUCCCUGCUCUUCCUGGUACCAGUGGCCCUGGUGAUUGAUGAAAGGGAGAUGGAAUUAUGUAAAAUGUCAUUACAAAUUAAACUGAUGUGAACAUGCCCAAAGUGGCACAAGAAUGCCGUCAUUUCUGCUGGAAGUUGUGUAGAUAGCUAAUUCUGCCCCAAAGGUUCAGCAGAUCUUUGGCGAUGAGGAUAUGACAUAUUUAGUAAGCUUCCCUAAGCUUUUCCUUUUAAACACUGCAUCUGCUAACAUAAUUUCACUACUGAGAACUUUCAAGUCCGUUCUAUAUGCUUUUUUUUUUUAAAAAAAAAAAAGGUAACGUUGCCAUACAAGAAAUAUGUAAAAUAACUAAGCAAGUAAUAGACAUCACCCCAGAAUUGGCCCUACUAAACAUCUUCCAAGACAACAAUGCCCAUUUACACCACAAAGAACUCAUAACCCACCUGCUCUCAGCAGCCAGAAACACCAUAACCAGACACUGGAGAGACCUGUCAGGAGUAAGCAUGGACCAAUGGUACCAAAUAGUAUGGGAAACAGCACUACUAGAAAAAUUAACUAAUAAACUGAAACUGACACGGGGACAAACAGAAGAAGACGCCUUCACCCCGGUAUGGCUCCCUUUAUCACAUACACAGCCCAACAGGACAAUGACAAUAAUCCACCAACAGCAUACAAAUCAAUAUGGCUAACCUGAUCCAAAACACCCACCCACCUCACUCACACAUGAAAACAAAGAUCACCACAGCCAAUCACAAGCAAACAAUCACACCCUAGGCCAACCCCAACCUCUCUCACCACCAAAGGAACACAAGUGAACAACACAAGCAACGCUGACACCAAACUCUACAUACAUUAAACAUAAUAGAAACACCGCCACCCGACCCCACCCCUAUCCAUCUUCCCUCUCUCCACCCCCCCUUUCUUUUUUCUUUUUCUUUUUUCCCCUUCUCCCCCUAAUGCCUCAACAAAUGAAAUGGGUUUGUAAAAAUGUUACAUGGAAAGAAAAAAAUACGAGGCACUACACUUCUGUAAAAUAAGAAAAUCCUUAAUAAAAUAUUUUUUUAAAAAAAGGUAACGUUCAUAGACUGCAUGUUGGAAACUUAAUUUAUACAAUUUUUUGAUAUACUUACCUUGGAUUUUAUUUUAUUAUUACUUUUAAAUUAAAGAACAAGAGCUUGUCACUAAUCUGUUUUGAAUAAAUUGUAUACAGCCCGGUAUUAAAGGUACUGCAGGGGAUCAAAAUACCAUUCCCAUAUUGAACAUAUCAGAGGAAGAAAAAAAAUGUCACUUUUUCUUUUGAAACCUACAAACCUAGAGAAAAAUCAAACAAAAUAGAUGUUAGGUCUUUGAUCUCUUUCCAUGCUUAGAAUCACAGGAGAAUGGUCCUUUCGUUUUGUCUUGAAAUUAUUCACCCACUGUAACUUCAAGGCAAAGGAAUGCUCAAGAGUUUCCAUAACUUAUCAUGGCUACCUAAUUAGAAAAAAUAACCUCUCUUGCACAAGAUUUUUAGAUGAUGCCUCUAACAUUACAAAGAGGCAACAUCAUAGCCGGCAAUCCUUGCUAUUGACUUUUGCCAGACCUAACGUUGCUAUAGAGUGGCUAGCUCCAUCGUUUGUGUGUAUGUGGUGUGUGAACCUCAGAUGAAAUCUGCUAAGUAAUGAUUUACUGUGCUUUCAGCAUAUGCCUGUGUUACUGAAACAAAUUGAAGAAGCAGAGACAUGUAAUUUAUUUGUUGGAGCCAACUGAGUAAAUAGGGAAGUGUCUCAAUCGAAUGAGUGAUGCUUAGGUGUAACUAGCAUUGUAUUUAAAAAUCUAAUAUUUACCCCCUUGUGACACCUCCUUACCUCAAAUACAUGAUUACAGAUCAUACUAAGUGUCUUCUCCCAUUUACUAGGACAGGAAUAAAUAAUAUUGCUUACCAUAUCAGGAUCUUAUGUUUGUUUGUUUUUUAAUUAAAAAUUAGAAUGGUUGGCAUGCAGCGUUACUAUUAAUGUUGUCUUUUUUUGUCUACCUCUCCUUCCAGAGAACUGGUCCUGUGCCUCAUGAAAAGGGAACAGGGAUGGAAGGAGAGAGGCAAUGUUGGGUAGGAAAGAGAGAGGGGGGAGCAGUGAGGAUUCACCCCACCCUCAAUGUUCAUGCCCCCAUUCUUGAAUUUUGAAAUAAAUCUCUCCUGUUUACAUACCUCCCUGUGCCUCCCAGAAAAUUCAAGAUUUUUAAAAAACAAAUAAAAAAUUGUAAGUACAGUAGUACCUCUGGUUACGUACUUAAUUCAUUCUGGAGGUCCGUUCUUAACCUGAAACUGUUCUUAACCUGAAGCACCACUUUAGCUAAUGGGGCCUCCUGCUGCUGCCACGCCCCCGGAGCACGAUUUCUCUUCUCUUCCUGAAGUAGAGUUCUUAACCCGAGGUAAUAUUUCUGUGUUAGCAGAGUCUGUAACCUGAAGCGUAUGUAACCUGAAGCAUAUGUAACCCGAGGUACCACUGUAGUGUAAAUAUUUGCCAGGUGAACUUUUUCUUUCCAUUACUCAUUCCAAAGCAUCUGUUGGAGCAUAUUAUUAACUGCUGGUUUGUUUGCUUCCUUCCUCAUACUUAUAUCCCACCCUUCUUCCUAAUGAGAGCACGGAGUGGUUUACAAUGCAAUAUAACAAAUUGUACAGUAAAAAAUAACAGCAUUAACUCAACAUCAUAGCAAACUAUAGAAAGUAGUAGUGUCAGCAAGAAGGUUAGUUACAUUCCAUUUCACCUUUUGCUUAAAUAAAGCCAAUGUGUAGGUCAACCAAAUUCUUUGGGGAUCCCAGAAUCAGCCCUCCCCCCAAGAACAUCUUGCCUCAUGCUGUCACCCACCCAGCUAAAGCUAAGGUUAGAUUAAGAAGUAGGGCGUCCCCAGCAGAUCUUAAAAUACAGACUAGGCAGUAGUUGUUCAUACACACACACACACACACACACACACACGAGAAAAGAAGGGAUGGGCCUUUUUAGGGAGGGAAUUCUUCAAAGACCUUUCUUGUAGCCAUCAGCUUUGCAGAAUAAAGGCACACAUUUGUUAUCAUUUCAAUAUACUGUUCAUUUUCAUUAUAAAACAUUUUGGUACUCAUUUGUUAAAACCAUAUUUCUUUCAUUAUUCAUUCAUUAGUCAUGCACCUAUCAUCAAUUUCAUUGUAUGUUUUCUUACCUUAACUCUUUUUUUUUGGGGGGGGGCAUUCUGAGCGGCAGGGGAACUGAUACUAGUGGGCAUUCCUAUUGGCUACCAUCUUACAUUCCCAGAAUGUUCCUAGACAUUGCAUUCUUCCUGGGCAUGAGUGAAAGGGAAACAGUGGCUUCACCCACCGAAAAGGGGAACUCGGAUUAGUGUGCAUCCUUUUUGUGCCUCAAAUGGCCCCAAACGAUACAACUUUCUUGGAAAAUUAAAUGGCUGCCAACAUCAGCCCCAUUGCUGCCACCAGGGAGACCAGGUUAGACCUCCCCUUCCAAAAUGGGUAUGAACAGGCGUGAAAUGUGAGAAAUGUAUGCUUUCAUUACUCAUGGCAUUCUCUUCAGAAUGAAUGAAAAUGGAACCCAAUGCCCCCUUUCAGUUAAUAUUUUCAAACAUUGCAAAAUGAAGGCACGCUUCUGAGGCAGAAUGCAGCUGCUUUUGAAUAUAUUAAUACAUAGGGCAGUUUAUGUGGGCAAAAGCUCUCCUUAUACAUUCUGCCUAGCAUUCAGCAAAUGUUAAUUCUAAAUACAUGUGGAGGGGCAGCUGUAGCAGAAGCCAUUUUUAUGAUUUUCAUGACACAGAAAGGUACCUCACGGUUUCAUUUGGUGGCCUUCAUUCCUUUCUGACAUCUUCUUUAAACCUUAUGAAUUUUCUUGACAUCCUCCAGCUUCCUUGCUCUCUUCCCUCACUAUAUCAGUUAAUGCCCAAAAGAUUGCUCAGCAAUGAUCAACCAUGAGCCUCAAAAGAGAAGAUUUCUGCCAUGUUGACUACUGCCAGUCAAACUUCUAAGCCAGUCAUAUAACAAAAGGUUAGCCAAAUACAGUGCGUUUUGCUGGAAGAAUGAGCAAACAGGCUGCUGAUCACGACAGCUUUGUAUAUUAGCCUCCUACUGUGAACCAGGGAGGCAAGAUUAUAUUAAAUGAAUAUGUAAUCCCAAGCAUUAUAUACAGAUUAAAAGUGACUUUAGCUUGGAUGUCAGAACGAUGAUGGAUGGAAGUUCCUUGCAUAUGCAUUUCCCAAGUAAACUCUAUUAAAACAGCAAGCCUUUGUGGAAUUGAAUCUGCUAGUUUUGAAAGAGACAAAAUCAAUAAUUCUGGCAAACCUGACAAAUUUUCUUGCCUCCCCCCACACCCUGACUUUGGUAGGCUGGUAAUGGGUCUGCAAAAGUCUGACUUGAAAAAACAUGCUAGUCUCUGUUGAGGUAAUCAAUUAAAGCUGCAAUCCUUUACUCUCCUGGGAGUAAGCCCUACUGAGCAUACUGGGUCUUACAUCUGACUAAGAUGAGAGGGCUACCUAUGGCUACUAGCCAUGAUGACUAUACUUUGCCUACACAGGAAUGCUUCUGAAUACCAGUUGCUAGAAACCUCAGGAGAGGAGAUGGUUCUUGUGCUCAAAUCCUGCUUGUGGGUUUCCCAUAGGCAUCUAGCUGAGAACAGGAUGCUGGACUAAAUGGGCUAUUGGUCUGACCAGCAGGCUCUUCAUAUGUUCUUAUGAGUAAACAUGCUUAAGCUUUCACUGCAAAUAUAUUUUCCUUUGCUAAGAUAAAGCCACUUCCGCCCUGCAGAGGAGGUGGGAUUGUGGGCGUCACAGCCCCACCACGCGUGCAGUGGCUAGAAUCCCCGACCACUUCACCCCCUGGCCAGCCAAUCUGCCGGCUCUGGGGGCGUGGCCUAUUUAACGCAGGUGCGGCUGGAGAUCUCCCUCUUUUCCCACCUAUCAGCUGUUCCUGUUUCCCACCCUCCUGCCCUUUAAGGUUUUCGUUCCUUGACCUUGCUAUGGACCUUGGUUGGUCGCCUGGUAGGAAUUUUUCCACUUGGCAAAUUGGCACCAGCCACUUAGUUUUAUUUUUAUUUUUUAAAUAAUAUUUAUUGAUUUUCCAACCAUUUGAACACAAUAGAACAGAAAAAACAAAAAGGGAAAAGAAAAAGCAAAGAAAAAAAGAGAAAAAACAUAAGAUUAACAAAACAAGACACAAACCAUUUAAAACACAAAACAAUUUCAAUAUCUUAACUUUCAUUCCCUUAUCUCCAUGACCUCCUCACGCCUCCCUUUCUGUAUUCCACUUCUAUUAAUUGUUUCAGCAAUUCCUUUCCAUCUUCCUCUGUUUUCUAUCCUAUAAUUAUCUUAACAUAUUCUAAUCUUAUUUUUCCCUUUAAUACUCUAUUUCUAUUUAUACUUAAUUCCUUAUAACAUUUCUACUAAAGCCAUAUAACUUCAUUCCAACAUUUUUCUAACAUUCAUUAUUUUUACAAUAUUUCUAUACAUAGUCUUAAACUUUUUCCAGUUUUCUUCCACCGACUCUUCUCCCUGGUCUCGGAUUUCUGCCAGUCGUUUCCGCCAAUUCCAUAUAGUCCAUCAACUUCAUCUGCCAUUCUUCCCGGAUAGAUAAAUCUUGUGUCUUCCAGUACUUCACAAUGAGUAUUCUUGCUGCUAUUGUUGCAUACAUGAGACAAAUUCUAUCCUUCUUUAACACCAAUUGACCGACCAUGCCCAGGAGAAAGGCCUCUGGUUUCUUCAAAAGGGUAUAUUUAAAUACCUUUUUCAUUUCGUUAUGAAUCAUCUCCCAGAGUGUCUUAAUCCUUGGGCAUGUCCACCAAAAGUGAACUCUAAUCCUCAAAUUCGUCUGUUUUUCCUUAAAUUCAGUCAUAGCGAGCGUCAACUUAUGUUCAUCAAAUUGCCUCUGUAGGGCUGGGGCUAUCUCCUCUUUCUCUCCAGUUGUGUUUCUGUACCUUCAACAGCAACAGCUUUUUCCUUGACUUCCUCCACAGCUUGCCAUAUCAAAAUAGGUUCUUGUAUCAAUUUCUGGGUGGUUUCUGUAUUGGUAUUGUCCAUACUCCCUGCAUUCAAGUCAACCUCAACAAUUGAAACAUCCACCUUCGCAUUUAUCAUGUCCAUUUUCCUGUGAAGCUGAUCCAAUGAGUCAUUUAUCUUAUAUAAUGCAGCCACCAAAGCCUCUUCUGUCGACAUUUCUCUUGGUUUCAAAUAUACUAGUACAAAGACAGCAACAAAAAGAACAGGAGGGCCUAAUAAUAGACCUCUCCUGGAUUGUUACCAAGUCCUCCCAGACCUUAAUGUUUUAUCAACAGUUGACUGGUCUGUUUUUCCUCUUCCAUUUACCAUAACAUUUGAAAGAUUCAAGGUCAGUCCCAGAGUCUCACGGUUUUUAACUUGCAGCUGGAAAUUCCCUAGUCCAACUCUUGUAAAUCAACCAGUUUCAAAGGCUUCCACUAGGGGGAAACAGUUUCUAUUUGUAAAAGUCAAUAGUAUCCUCUUUUAAACAAUCCAAAGUUAGUUUCAAAUUAGUUUCAAUUUUCAGUUACUUUUACUCCUUUUUAAAGCAGCCGGAAACAGUAGAAACAAUGUAUUUCUCUUAUUUAGCUAGCUGUCAAUGAACGUUCUAAGCGCUGUCAAUGAACAUUCCAAAAAACAUCAGUCUUACUAGCAGCCCGUUUCCAGGGUCAGAGCGGCGGUGUUUUAAGCCUCUUCGCUCUCUCCCGCAGGCAUACUCAAUCCGCAACUUCCCCCUCUCUUCUCCUGCCUCCAAGAGGGGGUUUAAUGUUCUUUACCGUUGGAAAUUUGAUCUUUUACAAAAGACCUUCCAAGACUCCAGCUUGCAACUUCAUUGCCUCAGUCUAUUUACUUCCUGUUUUGAAACUCCCCGUUACGAUACCAAAUUAAACUUUUAGAAAUCCAAUUCUUCCGUUUCAACUCUACUCACGGGUAAUUACUUUAAAGUCAAAUUGUCCACAGGAAAAGGUCAGCGCUCUCCGGCAACAGCUAUGCGGCUUCGCUCCGUGGAAGAAGCAGAUGAUUCGAUGCACCGCGCCGCUCACCCCACGUCGCUCCGGAGCCCCAAAAACCGGGGUUCCCCGCGAGUGGGGGAGGCGCAAAAGGUGCCCGCCGAAUCCCACGUUCAGAGGCUUCUCCCGCCUGUGAUUUUAAUGGGUCUCCGUCUUCGCCGUGGCGGCCAGACCCAGAUUCCACGGAGCAGAUUCCUCCCGGUCAGAGGAAUUCUGCCAUUACCGGAGGCGCCUCCCCCGGAAGUCUCCUUAGUUUUAGCCUACCUCAUAGCAAAUCGUCACAACUUUCUUGGUAUUGGUGGUUAGGCAUUGGUAUUGGUAUUGUUUUGUAGAUGGAGGAGGGGAGGAAGCGCCAUCACAUGCCCCGCAUAUUGAAGGGUAGUCCAAUAAAGGAUUCCGGGGGGUGUGGCCCUGUCCGAAGCCUAUGGAGGUGAGGGCCUAAGGCACGCCCCAAGCAGUGACCCCGGGGGAGUUCCUAGUUGAUGCGCAUCAGCAGGACUCCCCCUACUGGUGGUUAACCCUUCCCGGACUUCAAGCGGACGGGCUGAAGCCGUAUAUAGUCGGUUAGGACCAAUGCCUAAGCCAAUACCACUCAUCACCUGUAACCAAUAAAGUUGUGGUCUUAUUUAGCCCAUUAACCUUAAUAAUUGUGUCAUGUGUCUUUAUUUCCACUGGGGGGACGGGAACUCGCCACACAAUGCAUGGGGUACAGGUAUUAUACUGGUAUGUUUGUUUUGCUUUUCAUUUCCCCAUCUGAAAAGCUUGUGGCCAGGAAACCAUUGUUUCUUAAAAAAAAUAAUUGACUCAUAAAUUACGCUAAAAUAAAACUGUGCAAACUUAAAUGCAUACUAAACAGAGUGAUCCUGUCGUGUCCAAGAGAUACCCUGCUGGGUGGGAGAGAUUUUUCCUCCAACCCCAGGGAGGCUCCCACUGUUUAUCAAUAAAAGCAAUUGGGAGCACAGACAGUUAUUGUAAUGAACACCAGGCUUUCUGCCCUAAUAAUUGCUAGAGCUGGCCAUGUUCUUGUAUCUCAUGUGCUUUGUGAAAAGGGAGCUAGGACUCAUAUGGAGCCAGGACUCCCAAUGGCUUUUGGUGAUAUAUAGUGGGAGCAUACCUGGGUUUGGAAGACAAUCUAUUCCAUCCAACAGGAUAACUCAUAGAGCAGGCUGGAGAGAAACUUAAGAAAAUUCCAGCGCAGCUUCCUUCAGUAGCAAGUAUUGUUGCAAUGAUUGUACUGUUUUUCCAAGGUAGACAUCAUCAUCGUUGUCAUUGUCAUAAUCAUAAUUAUAAAUCAGAUUUAUAGCCCACCUUUCCCCCAUCACUUGAUGUGUACAAGUCAGAAUGCUGCUUUGCCUGUUUUUUGUUUGCCUUAAUGGAAUCUGGAAAGUUCAGGUUCUAGCAAGCAAAGCAAGACAAGAUCAAGUAGUAGAAGUUCAAAUCCAGCUUUUAGUAAGGCAAAGCAAAAUAAAGUUCUGAUUUGAACAUACUCAGGUGGCAGCAUUUUGGACAAUUCUGAGUGAGCAACUUGCCCUGUAAAUGCUAGAGAUAAACUGAGGGGUUUUUUAUUUAUUAAAAAAGUAAUUUAUUUCAGCCCAUCCUUUCCACAACUCUACUGCUUGAGGAUAAGUGCUUACUUGUCUUUCUUGGGCUUCACACCUGGCAUGCGGGGGCCAUGCAAUUCCUCCUUAGGCUGAGUAAGGAUCCUGGAUUCAGCUCUGCAGGCUCCCGCCCUCCAGCCUCAGCAUCAGGAGACUGGUUCAGUUCCCCAAGCUCAGGCCAGCUUCACCUUUGACAUCAAGGCCUGCGUUUUGACAAGCAGUGGUCAAGUUCCAGUAGCUAAGUGCCAUGCUUCUCCAUCUGAAAGCAAAAUGAACUCUGGCUGCAUACAUACCAUACAUUUAAAGCACAUUGCUUCCCUCAAAGAACCCUAGGAACUGUAGCUUACCCCUCACAGAGCUACAGUUCCCAGUGCCCUUAACAAAUGACAGUUCUCAGGAUUCUUGGUGGGGAGGUUGCAUACUUUAAAUAUAUGGUGUGUACACAGCCUCUAUCUGGCUCCUUGGCGAAUUGCUGCUAGCGCAGAGGUAGGCAAUGUGGCACCUUUCAGAUGUUUUGGACUACAAUCCCCAUCAGCCCCAGGCAGCAUGGCCAAUGGUCAAGGAAGAUGGGAGCUGUAGUCCACAGUCACCACAAUGGCUAUGUCUGUGCUGGACAAUACUGGGCUGACAGUUGAGGACAGCUUGAUGUGUUUAUUUGCGUGUAAUGUGAAAUUCAGCCCUUGUAUGUACAGAGCUGAAAAUGCUCAAAUGAUGCCAUCUGACUGUGAAAAUGCAUAGCCUUCACCCCGGCAAAAAAAGAGAGAUUUGCUUAGGUAGUACCACAGAAUCAGCUUGGUUUCCAAUAGAUGUAUGACAAGAGAGAAUAUGAGAUUAUGGCAAGUUUGAUUUAUGAGAAGUGUUCUGUUUGAAAGCAGGAUGCUACUCUGAAAAUAAAGAGGGAAAUAGUGGUACUGAAGCAAAGGAGUUGGAAAAAUAAAUUGAAUGGCCAUUAGAAAUCAUUUUUCACAUCUUACUUACAAAGCUGAAAUAAUUAGCCCUUUGUGGGUUAUCAGUCCCUUAUAGUUUGGGUUACUUACUUAUUUAUUUAUUUUUAACAGAUGACAGGUAAUUUGACAGCUCGUGUAGGAAGGUGUAAUUUUUUUUCUCCCCUGACACAUUCAAACUGCUAGUUAUCUGCAAAGAAACACACAAAGGACCUAUUUUUAUACACUUGGCUCAGAAGCUCUCCAUAAUAAGAGUUCUUGUUUUGUACUCCUGUGAGGGAUUGGUCUGAAGGGGAAACAUGCUGCAAAGUCUGUGAGUCCACAGGAGGACAUUUGACAAAGCUUGUCCAUCGGAUUCAUAACCCGGUGAGUCACCCAGGCCUAAGAAACCACUUUAGCUCUAGUGGUCCAAAGGGAAUCACCAAAACAGAGAGCCUAAAGCAUGGCAAGUGGGGAGUGCUUUGAAGAUUGCUUAUCUGUUUCUUUAAAACAAAGAAGUGGUACAUGACGCCACCUGCCCAGUUCAUCCAGGAGUGUUCUAGUGUUCUCAGUACCCAGUACCAGAGGCUACCACCUUCCCAGACCCUCCAAGUGUCCCUAUUUUCUAGGGACAGUCCUGGAUUUACAGAAGCCAUCCCAGUUGAUCCCAGAGUGUCUCCCUUGCUUUAGAACGUUCCUGUUUUCAUUGGAGAAAUGUUGGAGGGUGUGGAGUUAUGUGACCCCCCAAACCAAGGACAUAAGUAACUAUGCAACCUUUAUAAGACAUCUGAAGGCAGCCCUGUACACUUUUAUUAUGUUUUCAUAUACGUUGGAAGCCACCUACCAGAGCCAAAUGGGUCUGAUAUACCCAGAGCCAAAUGGGUCCUUGUGUAUCAUUGCUUCAGGAAAAUUACACAGCCACUACAGUGCCAGUGGGUGAGGUGGUUCUCAGGCUGCCACACCAUUGUGGCAGAUGUUGGAGGACCCUUCCCACUGUUUCCUUUGGGUGCUAGGAAGUAGCAGUGGAGGUGAGUGCUGCAGGGUGGCUGAGCUUGUACCCUCUUGUGUUGGUGGACUACAGCUCCCUUCAGGGAUGAUGGGAAUUGUAGUCCAACAACAACUGGAGGGGACCAAGUUGGAUGCCGGCCUGUGUAAGUGGUUGAGGAUUGGACGGUUACUUUGGAAUGAGCACAGGCUAUUCAUGUCUUCUCUCUCCUCUAUCUCACUUCUAUGGUAGCUAUGACAGCAGUCUCUUUCUUGAGCCAGGAAUGGAGAUUGGACAGAAGUUGGAAGCCAGCAUCUGCAGAAGGGCACUUUGACCUCUUGCUCUGAAGGCAUGGACAGCCAGUUUGCAAGCUGGCUCAGUGACUCUACAUUGCCAUGAAUAUAAAAUAUGAUAACUAUAUGUGGCCUGAACAACUUUUUGUUUAAAAGACAUCCAUUCAGGUCCAUUGUUUCCUCCUCCCCAUUCUUCCCAUUCCAGAACGGACCUCGCUCAUUGAAUGGAUGAAGUACAAGCAGGACAAAGGGUCACAGAGGUGGCACCUGUUGUGGUAUAUAAAACUGAAUCGACCCUUUGGGCUCCCAUAAUAUUUUUCUCUAGAGAUGCAGCAACUCAAAAUCAUAGUUCGCACAAGAGACCUCAAAGGUCAGUAAGUCCAACUCCUGUUGACCUCAUAAUCUGAUUCCUCAUAUAAGCUUUCACAUCACUUAAUGGACUUCCAACAAGUUGUGGCAUUAAGCUUAAUUAAAUUAGAACGGGAGCCAUUAAAGCCAUGAACACAUUUAAGGAUGUAGACCUAUUGAAAUUCAUGGACCUAAAUUAGUCAUCGCUGUUAAUUUCAGUGGGUCUACUCUGAAUAGGACCAGCACUGGAUAGUACCUUUAUGUUCCUUGGCCUCAUAUUGUAUUUCUGCUCUUUUUGACGUGUACUUCUCUGUGCUUUUUUUAUUAUAUAAAAAAAUAAAUAAUGCACCAUUAUUAAAAAAUAAUCACUUAAUGAGAAGGCAUAUCUUUUUAUUACUAUAUGCCUCAAAAUAGGGAAUAACUGGAAGUACUGCCAAAGUGCAAAUCACUAUUAUGUAUGUUCCCGCUGCCAGUUUUGGAAGCUUUUCCAUUAUGAAUGAGCUAAGUAGCAAUUACUGGAGGAAUUACGAGGGAGCAGCUUUUUAAAAAUUAAGAGCCUUGCCCUGCUCCUGUUUAAAUGAAUGGCCAGGCUCACUUUGACUAAAUUGGCUGGACGAUGCAACAUAUAUUCAUUUAUGAUAAUGAUAUGUAAACAUAAAGGCAAUCUUUCAGCUGGAGAGUUAUUGAACAUGGACUGCUAUUGCAACUACUUUCAGGAGCCUAAUAUAAAAGGAAGUGGCUGUAAAAAACUACACACACAUGCACACAAGGACCCUGGCAUUUUUUGGUUCAAUAUUUGUCACCACUAACCCCCUAUUAAGUAUUUUAUGCCUACACAUAUUCCCCCCCUCUUGUGUGCCUGCACAUUUUCCUUUCUGUACUGUAAUAUCCCAAGCAGAGCUGAAGGCAUUAAUUGAGAAUAAUGAAGAACUCAAAAAUUAAUUAUAGAUUACAAAACCGGAUCUUAAUAUGAUUGUAAGCGGAGCUGUCACCCAUGAAAAUGCAUGGUGAUCAUUCCAUUAUUGUUAAAAUCUAUGUAACUCAUGUCACGGCAACAAUUCACCGUAGGUAAUUUUUCCUCAACUGCUGUGUUACUGGUUUUUUUUUUUUUAAAAAAAUGCUAUUAAUUAAAUAUCCAAAGAAAUUAUCUGUAUUUAGUAACUACAGUAGUAAUUUAAAUGAGUUCACUAUUCAAACAAAAGCACAACACUUCAAUCAACUAGGCAUACACUGACUUGGAAAUAAGUCCCUUUUAAAUCAGUGGGCCUUAUUGCCAUGCCAAUAUGCUAAGGACUGGGGUGUAAAAGGCAAGCAACCCUGAUAUUAAAUUAAAUCAAAUAUGUAAGCGUGCAGUACAGUAGUGUUCAUUUCUAAACAGAAAUCUCCCCUAAACAGAAAUCUCCCCUGGGGGAGAAAACAUUUCAAAACAGUGGAGGAUUUCAAAAGGAAGCCAGUCAUCUAAAUAAGAGUAAUCUAAAUAACAGUGUAUGACAGUCUGCUUGUGAUGGGCAGGGAGAACAUUCUGACUGUUAAAAAUAUUCCUUUCCUUGGUUUCUUUGGCAAGAGAUGGGUGGAGAUAAGAAAAUACACUUGUGUGAUGUUUUCUGUAUUGGCCCCUUCUCUCCAGGAGAUAAUGUAUUUGUGGAAGCAUGAACAAAUGGAUCGCUGCGCCAGGCUUAGUUCCUGCUGUGUACCUUAGCUGGGUGCAUCAUCUGGUAUCACGGACUCCGAAAGACAUGGUUCUUUCUUGCUGAAAAGAGGCGCAUUUCACAAAAGGAGAGCCAGCUCUGCUUCAUGUCAACGUGUUUCCUAUUCUUUCUCCAGCUGAUUUAGGGUUCAGUUUAACGUGAUUGUAUUCCAAUGGGGGAAAGCAAUGAGUUGAACAAAUUGUUCCCAGCUCCUGUGUACACUGUAGACCUUGCUUAGACAAAGGUCAGCAGUUACUCUAUUGAAGAAAACUGACUGAUCAGCAUUUAAUGCGGCAAGUAAAAACAAAGGAAGCUUGGGGAUUUGUGUGUCAUAACUCAGCACUGGGUGAGUAAGCAACAUUUGCAGUUCAUAAUGGCCUCAAGCUCAGUUGCUUCCCUGCCCCCCUCCAACGUUUUAUGUCCCAGACACUGCAGAAGGCCUAGAACAAACCCUCAGGGUGUAGGGAAGAUGGUAGUGGGUUCUUUGGGGGAGAGUUACAUACCCUUCUGUGGAUUUAUUUUUGAUUCAGAUUUGUCAUGGCCAAUGGCUAGCACAAUAAAGUUAUUUGGAUCUUGUAAUACCCUCCUGAAUUUUCCAAAUGAAAAUAGGGGUGUCCUCCAUACCCUCCAGCAUUCCUCCAGUGAAAAUAGGGACGUUCUGAGGAAAAGCGGGACAUUUCAGGAUCAAAUCAGAAACCAGGGCGGCUUCUGUAAAUCCAUGACCGUCCCUGGAAAAUAGGGGCACAUGGAGGGUCUGGAGUCAGAUGCAUGUUAUGGGAGUUCCCUCCUUCACAAUUCACCAGACAUACUGGGUGAAAGGGUAAAUUGGAAAAAGGAAAGCUAAAAUGAGGAUGAAUGGGAGAAAUCAACAAUGAGAAGUUAGGGUUCCUUUUCUUACAUGCAGGCACACCCGACACUCUGGGAGGAACAAAAACAAACCAGAGCCUGAAACUGCGGAAGCAUCCAGACAGUGUGUAUUUGUCAGCUUUGUUUCCCUCUUCCAUCCAUUUAUUUGUUUGCCUUUUUUCUCUCCCCACUGUCCAGUUAUUUCUUCAUCGGGGUCCAGUUUAUGAGAAAAUAAACUUUCCCUUCCUUAAUUAUGUUUGAUGAUUUAUAGAUUAAGAACCAGUAUUUGAAAAAGAGUUACACAAGAGCUUAUAUCCACAACUGCUUUCCCUUGAGUUCAGCAUAACCGUUCUGGUUGCAAUAUGGCAACAUCCUUAUGAAUGUCUACGUGAGGGGAGAAUUAAUGUCAUAGGCCAAUGAAUUCAGAAGUCUAUGUGGUGUGCAUUGAGUUGUAAUCAUGGGCCCAAAAUAAGAGGCUAACGCCUAGCUGUCUCAAUAGGAAGCAAAGAAGCUUAUUUAAAUCUUGUGAAGAUUAGUGAAGAAUAUUUUGUAUGCUAGUAGACAAGUAAUUAUGAGGAAGUGGGGGAAUGUAACCUGCCUAUUACUGUCAGCCUGAGUAACAAUGAUGCUUAGCUUAGCUGCCAGAAAGUGGAUUGCAUCCAGAGAAUGUUUGAUCGCGUUUUGUUAUCUUUUAUGUCCCAGUGAUGCAAUUUUUACUGAUUCCUGUUAUUCAUCCUGUGUAGAAAUAUAUAAACAGAUCAAAGAUGGAUUUUAAAGUAAUACAGUUAAGCAGAUGAGUUUAUUUCCUUGUUGUUGUUUUUAUAUAUAUAUAUACGGCAGGAAGGGAGGGGGAAAAGAAAAGGGUGGACUAAGAAAACCAAGGAGGAAUUGCUCUUUUUGAUCAUCCUAUGUCAGUAUCACACAGGAGCAUGUUUCUACAGUGUUUAAGAAUUCUUUGCUCAUUGGUCCUUCUAGUUCUUGACUUUAUGUGAAUAGCUAGACAGGGAAGGUCAAAUGUGGUUUCCAAGGCUGUAAAAUCAGUAAGCUGCCAUCACACUGCAGUUCACACAGUCACCCAUAGCAACUCCAGUGUGAUGACAGAACAGGCAGAUGAGAAAUCAAGCAGCACAGGUGGCAGGUGGCCCAGGCGGGCUAUUUAAUGGAGGUUGGGAGGUACAACAGAGAGCAGCUUGGCUAACUGCUCUCUGAAGAACCUGACACUCCUUUAAAAGGGGUUGUGGGUUGAGGUGAGUGGUGAGGGAAGAGGUAAGCUGAGAGGGGAGGGAGAUUAGGUAAACUGAGACAGAAGGUUUGGGCAAGAUGUAAAGGGAUGGGUGAGGUGUAAAGAGAGCAGGGGUUGAUCAGGCGUGGGGAAGGUAUGUGGGGUCAGUAAGCAGAGCAAGCAUAUGUGCCCCAACACACCCAAUUUGGGAAUUUCACUGGGAGUGUAGGAGCCACAUUAAGAGCUUUCCCAGGCUAAGAAAUAUGCACAGAGCUGCCCCACCCCCAUUCUGUAAAGUGAAUGCACAAGCAUUAAAUCACAUGUGAAGAUCUCAGACUGAAUGACAAGGAUUUGUUGUUCUCAUCAUAAAACUGACCCAGGUAAUUGUCAAAGAGCUACCUCAGCAGGCCUGCUGAGCCCUGAGGCCCCAUCUGCACUAUACAUUUAUAGCAGCAUCACAGCACUUUGUACAGCCAUGGGUUCCCCAAAAGAAUCUUGGGAACUGUAGUUUAUUAAGUGUGCUGAGGGUUGUUGGGAGACCUUCAUUUCCUUUUCAGAACUAUAAUUCCCAGAGUUCCCUAGGAAGACGGAUUGACUGUUAAACGAUUCUGAGAAUAGUUACUCUGUGAGGGCACCAUUCUCAGCACUCUUAACAAACUACCGUUUCCAGGAUUCUUUGGGAGAAGCCAUGACUUUUCAAAGUGGUAUGAUGAUGCUUUAAAUGUAUACUGCAGAUGGAGCCUGAAUCUUGACUGGAACCAACAAAGGACUAAUCUUCUAAUAAUGUACAGUUGUACCCUGGAAGUCGAACAGAAUCCGUUCUGGAAAUCUGUUCGACUUCCAAAAUGUUUGAAGCCACUGCAGCAAAUCAGAAGCCUAGGAAGCCCCGUCGGACAUUUGGGUUCCAAAAGAACAUUCGCAAACAUUCACAAUCACUUCUGGGUUUGUGGUGUUUCGGAGCCAAAACAUCCGUGUUCCAGGGCAUUCAGGAUCCAAGGUACAACUGUAUUGUUACAAAGUAGGAAGACUAGCAAUAUAUUACAAGUUUGUCUCCUAUGACUGAGCACUCAGUUAACAUUACAAGGCCUUUCUAGCCAUGGUAGACAUAAGUCGGCUGGGUAUUAAUAGAGAUGGGCCACUGCUGACUGGAUACCUGUGUAAGUCAGCUACCUAGGCUAGAAAGUAGAUCUCAUUCCUGACUGAAUUGACUUGAGGGAUGGAAAUGUGUGGGUGUUUCUUUUUUUUAUUCCCUGUAGCAAUUUACAUCUCCAAGAGAAAUGUCCUCCUCUGCUCUCUUUUACAGAUUUUUAUCUCUAGCAAUUUAAAUCUCCUAGAGAAAUGUCCACUUCCUCUGCUCUCUUCUAGGCUAGGACUUUGGCAGUCCCCCAUAGAUGCAUGCAAAAGUUCCCAGUCACAAUUUCGCGCACCUCAAGGUAGGGUUGGGAAACUCUUUAAUCUACAAUCCUGCCUGAACAGCCUCUGCUAGUCUGUAGCUAGAUGAGCCAAUAGUCUGACCUGGUAUAAGAAAACUUCCUGUAUUCCUGUGACCCAUCAAGGAAUAACUGUACUGUAAAAAAUGAAGAAGUGGGCAUAAUAGCACUGAUCUACUGUUAUGUUUUGGAAAGUCCAUUGUCCAUCUGUUCUCUAUGUGAUCAAAUGCCUAUUGAGAUAUCAUCACCAUACUUGGCAUGAUGGUUCCUGAGAUAGAGGAGCUGGUUUUCAUCUGUAUUUGGAUACCAUUGGGCACCAUUUUGAGUCAAGAUGUUGAUCCAAACUAUUCCAAACUGUACUGAUUUGGACACUUCAGAUGCUAUCGUCACACAAUUUAGCGUGGUUGUUCCUGAGAUUGAGAAAGAUAUUUUAAUCUAUAAUCUGGAGACUAUUGGGUGCCAUUUUCAAUCAUGAUGGCAGGCCAAAAUAUUCCAAACUGCACUGAUUGGGAUGCCUCUGGAGAUAUCAUCAUCCAGUUUGACAUUAUAGUUCCUAUAUGAAGGAACAGGCUUUGGUUUAGAUACUGUCAGGUGCCAUUUUGAAUCAUGAUGGGGUACCAAACUAUUCCAAACUGCACUGAUUUGGACACCUCUGAAGCUAUCAUCAUAUAAUUUUUUUGCCUAGAGUAUCCUGUUUCAAAGGUAUUGAAACAAUAAUAAGCAUGCCUCCUUUGAAGUAAACCACCCUGUGUUCAGUGAGAUAUACACAAAGGAAAUGUGCAUAGUGGGAUAGGGAACCUAGGACCUGUGCCAUUGUACUACAACUAUUAUAAUACUGUACAUGACCCUUGAUUAUUUUGGCUGGGGUUGAUGGGAGUUGGAGUCCAAUGUCCUUCAGAGGGCCACAGGUUCCCCAACCCUGGUGUAUAGCAUUGCAACCUAAGUCGGUUUUACAACUUCUCAUUUUGUUUUGUUCAGCCUGAAGCACAAAGUGCUUCCACUACAUAUCCAGUUAGCUUUUCAACAAGUACCAUCCACUUCAUCACUGCUAGAGAAGAUUAAAAGCAGGUCAUUUAUUUCUCACAUCUAUACUUUUCUCCUCCUAGCAAAAUGAAAAGGCAUGCAUUUGAGCACAGACAUCCUCAGAACCACAUUGUUGCCUUUAAAAAUUGAAUAUUUAGAGCAUUUAACAAACCUGUGAGCUAUCUGAUAAAUUCUAUUGAUCGACAUACCAAAAUUUAUUUAGCCUGCUAAACGAGAAAUAUAUCAAAUGUGCAUAAAAUGUGAUAGGAACAUAGGCAAGGAAAUUGUGGUCAUGCAAUAUUUUUUUAAAGCAACCUGUGAUUUACUUCAAUUUCAGUAUGAUUUUAUUUCUUCCUUGUCAAAAAGGUCAGGCUCAUUUCUGUAUCUCCCAGUGGUAAAUACAGUUAAUGUGCUGAGGCUGCAAUGCAUCCAGCAUGGAGGUCAUUUAAUGGUGACAUAAAUUAUUUUACUAGCUUUUCCUUCAAGUGGGCUAUGAAUCCAUGUAGUAUAAAUGAAUAUCAGAGCUGUGAUGCUGUUUCAUCCUGCCAGGCAGGCUGAACUUUAGUGUUCCUUCUUUCAGUUGGGAUGCUGCAGAGUGACAAAGACGAUAAGAACUUUUGGUGGAGACAGUGGGAUAUUGCUAUUUUCCCCCCCUUCAUCUUAUUUUUUAAAACUGAUCUUCCAUACUGUGUAUUGAAUUCUAGUAUGCAAAUGGAUUUUUGUUUAAAAAAGUAUUUACUUUCUUUUAAGCAGGAAUAAAAAGGGACGUGGGUGGCGCUGUGGGUUAAACCACAGAGCCUAGGACUUGCUGAUCAGAAGGUCGCGGUUCGAAUCCCCGCAACAGGGUGAGCUCCCAUUGUUCGGUCCCAUCUCCAGCCAACAUAGCAGUUUGAAAGCACGUCAAAGUGCAAGUAGAUAAAUAGGUACCACUCCGGUGGGAAGGUAAACAGCGUUUCCGUAUACUGCUCUGGUUCGCCAGAAGCAGCUUAGUCAUACUGGCCACAUGACCCGGAAGCUGUACGCCCGCUCCCUCGGCCAAUAAAGCGAGAUGAGCGCUGCAACCCCAGAGUCGGUCACGACCAGACCUAAUGGUCAGGGGUCCCUUUACCUUUACCUUAAGCAGGAAAAAGUUCGCAAUUGAAUGAUUAUUAUUUUUAAGUAACACUUUAUUUUAAGCAGGAUAAUGUUUGCAAUUUGUAUCGGUGUCAAGUUUCCAUUUUUUUUAAAAAAAAUAUUUAGAUUUUCAAACGUAACAUAAUCGAAAAGUAAAAUAUUGACAUACCAAACUAUCAUAUAUUAGCGGCCUCAGUAACACGUAUCACACAUCUAAAUUAACUUCAAGGCGGGGGGACUUUAAAACAGUUUUUAAGGAUAGCUGUGUUAGAAACUUUUCCAUAUGCUACCACAAAGGCCUAAUCUGAAAUGGGUCACCAUUUAACAAGACUUAUGAAAGCUUCUUUCAGUUCAGUUGAGCUGUAAGGUCCGAGUGGCUCUGCAAGAUAUCAUGGGUGUUCAGGGGGCGGUGGAUGUUGGCCUUUGUCUUUUCUGCUGGUUUCACUUAAGUGCCCACACAUAAUAGAGAUUUCACUGAGUGUAGGAACAAGGGACAGAAAGGUCACCUUCUGGAGGAGUUCUUCUGAACAGUUGGUAAUAAGGGUUGAGCAGUUUGGGGACGGGACCAUGACAGGCUGCUGUGCUCGAGACUAAAUAGAACUCUCAAAAGUACCUUGUAGUUUGGGAUGUCAUGCUUGUGACCGUUAUUAAUAGGGAUGGAAGUUCUAAAAUAGCUAUUUAAAAAUCUACGUUCUAACCCAGGGUGACUGCUUUUAGGAACUCUGAGGCUGGAUCCUGAGCAACGUAAUUUGUACUCUAUUGGAGAAGAUGUCAGUAAUGAGCUUGGUUUUCUAACACACCAUGUUAAAUAAUCUUUCUUGUAUGGGCAUAUCAGUGCUGUUUUUGUUUACCUCCAUUUAGUUUUUGGUUUUUUAGAGUGUCCCUUGCUGGGAUUCUUGCUUCCUAUGUUUAUUGUUGUUUUAUUAUGAUGGUGGUUUGAUGCAUUUUGUGGUUUUGUAUUGGGUUGUUUGAUAUUUUAUGGUGUCUUGAAUUCUUAAAAAAAAAAAAAGCAGGAUAUGAGUUUUUUUUAAAAAAUGGUGGCCCUAAUAUAGUUGGCAAUCACAGAAAAAUCAAAGGGUGAUUCAAACUCCUUCAUAGGUGCCAACUAGCACCCAUAGUGAGCGAUGGGUGUUGGUUGGCACCCAUGAUGCAUGGAUCAUUUACAACAUAUCUGCUUGGAAAGAGAGGACCAGGUGAACUAAUUAUUUGUUCUGAUCCCUAACAAUUUAUAUAUUCAGGAGGCAUUGACCCAAACAAGAUGGUGGAAGCAUUCUCAGAACUACACAAGAUGGUUUCAUGCUUUUGAUCAUGUGGUUGAGCUUUCUGGUAAAUAGUAAUAACUGGGGGGAGGGCAGAAUUCCAUCCCUCUCUUCUGCUGGACAAAUUAAAGCCACAUGCUGUGGCCACACAGCAAGGUUUGUUACACUCUUCCCUCUUUGCCCCUUACGUAUGAAUCUGACAUGCACCAUGUUCACCCUGUAGCCAUCCCAAACUACCAUAGGAAUUACUGCAAAUCCUAUUUAAAUUCCCUCACCUGCCCAGACAAAAUGUAAUUUGGCCCAAAUAGCAUGCCUAUGGUCACACAGAUGACACCAAAGAGUGUGGAGCGCAGGUGAAAACAAGGAGACCCAGGGCCAAUGAAGAGCUCUCCCCCAAAUUCCUACUCAGUCCCCCUCCAAAAGGGUGAAUAGCAAUGCCCACACUGCAAAGGGUGGGAUAGCGGGUGCCAACCAAAGGAAAGUGGGGGCAGGGCAGAGCUGGCUUAAGUAGCCUGCUCUCUGCCUCUUCCCUAUUGGACAAUGCAGCCCAUGUGUUUGCCUCCCCCAGCCUAACCAUCUCUCCUGUUCUUCCAGCACCAUUGCACCAACUCCUGCCACAUUAUCAGUUGUCAGUGGGAGAGUGGUAUAAAGAAAGGGAUCAACAGGUAACUCUUUGGCAAUCUAUUCAAGGGUUACUCACUUGGUAUCAAUUGUGUGAAACAAAUAUGUUCUUUUUUUAAAAAAAUCGUGAUUAUUGUACACAAAUAGCUGUUCAAUCAGAGGGCUGUUCCAGGAGUGUUCUGCUUAUGGCUUUAACAAGUAAUGCAUUCAGUAAACAGCACGUUUACUGAAUCUCUGUUCAGAAAAAGAUCACCUCUUAGGAAGCAUUAUAUCUUCCACUGAAUUAUUACAAACGUAAUUUGAUGCAAUUAUACUUUCAAAUUAUACUAUAUACCCCGAUUGUGUUUGCUUUGUAUAUUUACAUGAACUAGGCUAAGGAUGAGUUUAUUAUUGGGUUUCAGAACAGUAAUUAUAACGUAGUUAUUUCAUCCAACUUCUAAUGAAGCUUACAGUCAGGCAAAGCCGAUGGAACAUUAACAUCAGAGUGCAAACACUCCUUAAAGCAAUCCACAGGAAAGGAUCAAUCAGUGUAAAAAGUCACAGCCUUCACGCGGUAUCGCUGUGCUCUGAUAGUCUCUAAAAAUGAAUUCUUAAGGAUCAUUUAACAAGGACUGUUUAUCACUUAAUAUACAGUAACCAUUCUGAAUACACAAUCAUGGCAGUUAAAAAGACGGUGGAAGAAAGUUGCAUUUUAAUUAUUAUUUUUACCUUUUUACCACUAUAGAGUGGUAGUGAACAGAGAACCAGGGUGAAAUUAUCCCGGGGCCCUCCAGAUGGGUAUUUUAUUACAGGUGUCUGCUCUUUGACACCCUAAUGGUGCAUUAGUGAUGGAUUUCUUCUGCUUUAGUUUGUUCUGUGAUGCUUUCCCAAUGCUACCACAUUGGUGGCAUUCAGGCAUGGGGUUUGUCGCAUUAGUUUUUCUGGUUAUAUUGCUAGCACUGCUGUCUGGACUUUGAACAUUCCAAGUGUUGUUGGACUACAAUUUCAUUAGCCCCAGCAUAGCAAAUAGUGAAAAAUAAUAGGAAGCAGAGUCCAACAAUAUCUGGAGGGUAUCCGGGUGGCUACCCCUGCAUUAUAGCCUGCCUAUCCAACACCUAGAGCUACAGACAGACACAAAAAAUUAAAUUAGUUCCUCUGCAAUCUCCUUUUCCUCCUUUAGCACACCUUUCAGUCCCUUGUCAUCUAAAGGUUCAACCUAUUCCCCAGCCAGUUUUCUGCUUCUGAUUUAUUUAAAUACUUUUUGUUAUUAUUGUAAUUGGUCCUAAUGCUUUUAGCAGUAUGUUCCUUGUCUUGAAUUAUCCCCCUCACUGAUCUCUCAUUGUCCACUUGCAUUUCUUUCGUCCACCUGCAUUUCUUUUGUGUUCCUUUUUGCCCUCCACAUUUGGGCAAGAUUUCCAUUUUCCGAAAGAAGCCUUCUUGCCUCCAGAUGCUUCCUUGAUUCUGCUCCUUAAUGACAUCCUGUUAGACCUUUCUGCUCUGUUGUAUCUGAUCUUUUUCUGUUAGGGUUUUAAUAACCCCUAAGCAUUCUGGUGAGAUUUGACCCUCCUGACUUUUCCGGGAGUAUGUCCUAACUGAAUUCAGUGGGACACCACACCUCUGAGUAGACAUACUAGAAUGGUGCUCUUAAGUCUGUGUUAGAAUAUGGAAGAAACACUGAAGCAGCUUCAAAAUAAAUGGAAGCGGUAACAAUUGGUGGCAAGUAUCUAUUAUUUGUCAUUUCUGACCAGAAAGCAUUGCUGUGUCUGUCAUGGGUGUAGCCAGGAUUUUUGUGGGGGGCAUGCCUUUUGUUGUGGGGGCAGAACCUCAGUUAGCUUUGUAUUUAUUUAUUUAUUGGGGGGCAGCUGUCCCUCCCUGCCCCCCUUGGCUACACCCAUGGUCUCAGUGGUGGGAAACCUGGGGCCUUCCAGAAGUUAUUGGACCCCAACUCCCAUAAUGUCUGACCAUUGGCCAUGCUAGCUAGGUCUGGAGGGGUUUUGAUUCCAACAACAUUGGGGAGGGGGGGCAGCACAGGUUUUCCACUGCUACACAAUUUGCUUCAGAUAGCAUGUAUAUAUUACCUGUAUAUACUUUGAAAGGAAUGCCUCAUUGCCUUGCCUAUCACAACCUAAGCAGAAACUCUUUUAGCACGAUCUUAUUGAAGACAUUAAGCUGGGGGACAUCUCCAUACUUGAUUAAAUGGGGAGACAGAAAUGGCCAUUUCACUUUGCUGGUAAAUCGUUUUGCCCAGCUUUGACACAAUAAUUUGCUUAAUUUCUUAAUGCGCUUCUACAGUUCAGACUGCGCUCCCAGCUUUUAAGUGCCAUCAUUAAAUUCUCAUUUCAAAUCAAUGUACUAGUUGCACAUUGCUGGGCAAACAAAGUAUUUAAAGAGUUUUCCCCAUAAUGCAAGGUAAUUGGUGGAUCCUCAGCAAGGCCCAUGAAGUUGCAGUUGUCUUUGCCAGUAGAAGGCCAGCAAAAGGAGGGGGAGUCUAGAAAAGACUCAUUUGCUGCCAGUAUCACAGUGUUUGGCCUGGAAGUCAGCUGCCCUUUACAGAAAGAGCCUGAAUAAACCAGCAGCACAAAACACAGCUGACAAGGCCCAGCAGCUGAACAAAUGGACAAGUAUGUAAUUUAGCUCAGCCUUCCUUUUGGGGUGUGUGUGCUUAAUUAAUGAGGGUGAUACAAAAGGGUGGUAAUGAGUAAUGAGUACUGAGUGUCUGUGAGGUCAGUUAAAGAUCAUUUUUGUGCACACAAUGGCUUCAUUUUCGACUAAAUCUUUCAGCCUAUGAUAAAAGAGCUUACCUUGAGAGAGUUCAGGGAAUUGAAAGCAGAACAGGUUUUUUUUUGGGGGGGAGGGGUAUUCAAAAACAUAAGAAAAGAAAAGAGGGGGGAUUGAUACCAAAUGGGACAAUGAAAAGAUAUGAAGCAAAGAGAGAUAAUCUGUUGGGUGCUUGUGAAGAGCAAAUGGGAAAGUAUGGUGACGUGAGAUACAAAAUUAUACAAUAAACACCUGGUCUUCAAUAGAUGAGCCAUAUUCCACAACUGAAUCACACUGUAUUGUAAAGUCAUACCAUUUAUACCAACCUUUUUUGUCUCUCUGUUUACAGAUUUUUAAGAGAAGGAAAGUUCUCAUGAUUAAAAUUAAAAGUAGUUCUCAGGAUUAAUUUUUUUUAAGACUACCACAAUAAAAACAUCAAGUUAAAGGAGUGAGCAUAAUAAUAUGUUUUGGAAUUUUUGCUCCCUAUUUUUCUUGAUUUGUUAUUUUCUUUCUUUCUUAUAAUUAUUGUCUAUGUCCCCUCCCCCCCCCUUUGUCAGAGAUGUAGUUGUUUUGAAGGGAUCAAGGCAAACUCAUAGAAUUGUAGAAAGGUAGAUUUGGGAGUGACCUGAAGGGUCAUCUGGUCCAACCCCCUGCAAUGCAGGAAUCUAAACUAAAGCAUCCAUGUCAGAUGUCCAUCCAACCUCAGAGAUGGCCAUCCAAAUGGUCUCAGAGCUGCAAAAAGGAAACCAUGGUUCCAGACUGACCUCAUCGCUUCAUAUUAUAGCAUUGUGCACAAAAUACCCAACAAAGGGAGGCUAUUUUAGUUCCCUGCUGUGGUGAAUGUUUCCAUCUGGUUAGGUAUUCAUGUGCACUCAUUUGCAGUCAGAGUACGUGAUAAGGAUAGACUCCACUCAAGAUCUGAAACAAGGUUUGCCACAUGAAGACAGCCACCGAAGGCAGCAACAUAGUCGCUAUUAUGGUUAUUCUGGCCAUUUUUGGACUACACUUCCCAUCAUCCCUGAUCAUGGGCAGUGAUGACUGGGACUGAUAGGUGCUGGAAAUCAAUAGCACCUGGAGGGACACAGAUUCCCUACCCCUGUGUUAUGAAAUCACACUGUUUAUGUAAUGGAAUAUUAAAGAUCGCAGCUGCACAAGCAUUUUUCUAUGCUGGGAAGAAAGGUGAGAGCAGCAUAAUGAUUCAAAGCAAUUCCAAUUCAUUUCAAAUGCAACAUGCAAGUGAUCGUGAUUUGUUCACGCUGGACCAUUGUGCUCAACAAGGUGUCCUGGACCUCUGCUGAAUAUUCACGGGAAUUAAGUUUUUUGACCACUAGAGGGCUUCCAUAUUUUUAUUUAAAGCAAUAGAAACACAACAUGGGGCAUAAGUGUAAAUCUCUAAGAUGACUGUAUGCAGAUAUACAGGAUCUACAUUAUCGAAGAAAUAUAUAUUUCAGUGACUAACAUAGCAGAACUUUUAAAUUCUUGCAGCAAAACAUUUUUGCUUCUGCCUUCAUCAGUUGCUCUGAUUAAGAUGUUGCUGUUUCCAAGGUGGCAGUUACAGUGUGUGUGUGUGUGUGUGUGUGUGUGUGUGUGUGUGUGUGUGUGUAACAUUCUCUCUAUCAUUAUGUUGCCAGUAUCUUGCAAAUGAAACAGUAGCUAUAAACAUCUAUUUACUAUGGGAAUCCUAAUGGAAAAGCUAGCAAAAAAUCAGAACAAAGUUGUCAGAGGAAAUAGUUUAAAAAAUUUAACAUUGUACAUGAAAUUUAAAUAGCAAUACAUAGGAUAGUUUGUAUCAUCAAGUCUCAGUAGCAUAUCAUCAAGUCUCAGGAGUUCCACAGGUCUGGGUAUAAAUUACUCAGGUUUGAAUAGAAGUUCAUCUCUUGCUUUGGACGCAUGGCAUUUUAGUUUUGUUCCACCCUUCAUCAUUGCAGACAUUUAUUUCAUUUUUUAAGACCUGGAUCUGACAGAAGAUCAUGAUUGCAAUAAAAAUCUAGGCUGAGUUUCAAAUUGGUAAGAGGCAGCACACUUAGUACUACACAGUGUAGAAGUCCUGAAAUAUAGAUAGCUUCUCAUCUUCCAAAUGCUCCCAAGCUCAGUCCACAACCACCAUAGUGUGCUUACAGCCUAAAUGUGUUUAAUUUGCUCAAAUUGAAGGUUGGAAAGGGGGGGGGGAGAGAGAGAGAUUAUAGUGCCAUUCUAACGGAUAUGAUACUAACUGAAGGUUUGGGAUGUGGGAGUAUAAGAAGUUAAUUGGUAGCUCUUAACAUAAGCUCUUGCUUAUUAGACCCCCACCUGAUCUAUACAUAAGGGAAAGGGCAUCUGAGGUUUAAUUGGGUGAAAGGAGAAGGGAUGUGCAAGGAGAUUUUAUGUUUGGUUCUGAAUGCUUGAUUAUAGCCUGUGUAAAAAGACUUAAGAAGAACUGCAUCCCAGUGGAUUUAGUUGGCUUCCUAGCUUUGUGCAUCUCCAUUUUCUUUUUAAUGGACCUAAAGGGGUUUAAUAACUUGAUCUCAUAAAAUUCAAGGGGUGGCUGAAGAUUUUUUUGCUGGACAGGUAUAGAAGCUGACCUGGCUACUAAAUAUUACAUCAAAACUGGUGAUGGGACAUGACCUCUUCAGAACUUGUGGGCAGGAGGCUAGCUCAGGUGGUCCCACAGCAGACACUACUCCAUCUUUACUACCGCUUCCGACAUCACUGCAUUUGUUGCCUGAGGCAGCUGCCUCAUUCUGCCUAAAUGGUGGGGCUGGACCUGACAAAACUGAUGUCCUGAGGAAGCUGUCCUGCUUCACGUAUGUUACUAUUAUUGUUUGAUGUGAGAGGAAAACCAUAUUUCAGAUGCCUUUGGUAACUGUCCUUGCUAGAAUUACAGAAUACUUUGCUAUGAUAUUUCAGGGACAGAAUGGAUCUUGCAAAUGCUCUGUUGAGCAAAGUGCUGAAAUGCUAUAAGCAUAGAAAAGGUACAAUAGGCAGUUUUUCAGACAGUGUGAGAAUGGCCUUCCGUACAGCCUAGUAUUGCUUAUUAUGAGGCUAUAGGGUGGGAGGGAUGCACAAUGGAUGUUUACAGACCAGUUUCACAACUGUACCUUUAAAAGGGAAGGAAUCUCAGAUACUAUUUUUAGCCGGUGCCAGCUUCAUUAUAUUUUAAACUGAAAGACAGAUGAAUUGCCUUGAGAAUACAGCAAGAGGUUUCUUGGAAGCAAAGCUCAAAUGGCCACAUUAUUCAUGGCCCAAAAACUAUAGCUGGUGAAUCCAGAAUUGCCAUGAACCUGCCCCAGGGGCUUGUGGUGUAUACUGUGUCAAAGACCAAAUGAGGCAGCUAACAGCUUUUUGCUCAGAGAAGAGGCAGAGCUAGCAGGCUGGAUCCAGAUUUAGGUUGCAAUUUUAUUCUCAUUUACCUGGGAGUAAACCCCGCUGAAAUGAGUGGAACUUACUUCUGAGUUUAUGUUGUUAGGAUUCCAGCCUUAGUCAUGCUUAGGGUAGACACAUUGAAAUGAACUAGGUAUGUAAUGAUUAGGAAUGGGCAAAUCUGUCAGUUCUUUGAACUUCUCGUCCCCCCGCCCCAAUCUUCAGUUCAUUCCUCCACAUUUCCUCAUCAGUUUGCAAUGCUUUCUCAUAAAAAUUCUUAAGUGUUUGAAUUCCUCCUAAUAUUCACAUUUUUGUAUGCAGUUUUGCCUAACAAACGUAAAUUUUCAAAGAAAUUUCCCCCUAUACAAUACAUCUUUUAAAUGUUAUUUUCUCCAAUAUAUGCAUUAUUAUUCAAACUUUGUCCUAAUGUAUCCAUUUUUGCACACAGGAAAUCUCCGGAGAACUGGACUGCAUAAUUUGAAGGAGUGCAUAUAUUUCAAAGGGUGGCUGUGUUUUGGUUCCCGUAUUAUUUCAGGAUGUGCAAAUAAGGUAGGUUCUCUUUCAGUGUGAACUGAAUUGUAUUUUCCAUACCCUAUAAUGGUUAGGUCCCAUUGAUUUCAGUGGGUCUACCUUAAGCAUGGUGGUGUCUGGUUCCAAUGGAAUAGGUAAUAUCAGAGUAAGUAAUACUUACAUUGUCUAUCACCCAAUGUUUUUAAUAAGGCUGGAAAUCAUGGCACUUUUUAUUUUAAUCAAGCAGUCAACCUAGUAACAAACAUUGAGUCAAGUUAUUAAAUAACUCAUACAACAUGAAGUCAAUAGGUAAACUGUGUCAGUUUAUGUUGCACAUCACACCAAUCUCAGAAUGACGCAAUGUUCCAGGGACAUACCCAGGGUUUACAUUUCCUUUGGGAAUGAGGCAGAGCAGAGACUGUGGCGUCUUUUUUUUUUUAAAGAUAUUUAUUGAAAUUUUCAAAAUGUUACAAAAAAUAAAAAAAUAAAAUAGAAGCCGAAGAAAGUACAAAAAAUAAAAAUAGUUGACAAAGUAGGAAAAGAAAAGAAAAGAAAAGAAAAGAAAAGAAAAGAAAAGAAAAGAACAAACCCCUUCCCACCAUAUGAGAGAAAAUUCAAAAUAAGAGAAAAUGACAGAAAAAAAGAAAAAUACAAAAAUCACAAACCUUUAAAAAUAUUUAAAAAACAAAUUCAUUAUUUUCAAAUCCUUAACUGUCAUUGCCUUCUUUCUUAGACCUCCUCCUCCUCCCUUUCUUUGUAUCCUAGUUAUUAAUUAUCCCAGCAAAUCCUUUCCAUGUUUCAUAAAAUUCUGUCCUUGCAUUACCCUAAACUAUUUUGAUCUUAUCUUUCUAUAAUAAAAUAAACCUUAAAACUUAAAACUUAAAUCUUAUCCUUACCAACUUCUCAUAACCAUAAUAUUCUUUCAUAAUUCUUUAAACAUCUUUGCUAAAGCCAAGUAAUUUCAUUCCAACAUUUUUCUAUCAUUCAUCACUUUUAUAAAGCAGUUCUAAUGGUAGAAAAAAGGGGUACAAACAGAUCCACUCUUCAUCCAGCGUCCCUUCCUCCUGGUUCCGGGUUUUGUCAGUCCUUAUUCCCGUCAAUCUAGCCCAUUCACCUGGCAACCUUAUAUCCGAGGCCCUCAAGUCUCUUCCAUGUCCCUUCCGUGGCUCUUUUUCAUAUUUGUAACUGUAUUUUCCCUUGUCUCCUGCUCGUGGUAACUCCAGCUUGACAAUGUUUUUAGCCCUUCUCGACAAAUCAGCCCCUUUUCCAUGUUCAACACUAAAUUCCAUGUAGUAUUUAAAAGCAUGUUUCAAAGACCCUCCAAAAUUGAGAGCCCCCACAGUCCCAAACAUCUCACGGCCCGUUGCCAUAUUUGAAAAGUCCAAACGUCCCAGCAUAGGGUCAAUCCAGCCCCCCAUUUCCAAACCAAGCCAAACUUUUCCUUUCCAAAUCUGGCUUUUCCAAGUUCAUUUGUCAAAUCCGAAAAAUCAUAUUCCUGUUGGGCCUGUUCUGUCAAAACACACUCCUGAUUUAAUGUCAAAAACUCCUGUUCUGUCAAGACACUCUCCUGAUUUAAUUCCUGAGUGGGCUCCACAUAUUUUCCCACUGUCUGUUCAAAAUUUCCCACUGCCUGUUCAAAAUUUCUAGUCGAAGUCGCCAUCCAAUUCACCUUCUCGUGUAAUUGUUCCAGUAGGGCAUUUGUUUUAUAGAGAGCACACAACAAGGCUUCUGAAUACAUUGUCCUGCAAGGUCAGAUGCCUGUUCCCACGGUUGUAAUCUGUAACCGCUGCCGGCUCCCUGGAGUUAGUUACAGUUUCACAGUUACAGUUUCACAGACUCCCCCUAGGGGAAGACUUCUAUUUGUUCUUGCAACAAAGUUUCCUUUUUUAAGAUACUUUGUCCAUAUAUAUUCCUUUAAAAUGCGAAAGGGAACAGUGGAAUCACUAGGUUUCUCUUCUUUUAGCUAUCUGUCAGCGACACUUGUCUUUGGUAAAUGAACUUCAAACGUCAGUCCUGACACCCCGCUCCAGGAUCAGGACGGAGGAAAGUUACUUCACUUUAAAGUCACUUUAAACAGUCCAAAAAGAUCACCCCCUUCUCCUGCUGUCGAAGGGGGGUUCCACAAUUUUAAAUGGUGAAAUCCAAUCUUUUAAAAACGAUUUUCUGAGCUCUAGUUUCAAUUGUCUUUGCUUUAUUCUGUUUACAAAAGAACGGAAGGUUGACUUCCUGUUUAGACCUUUCCGUUCCGUACCAAAUUAGAGUAAAUUUUUAAAAUCCAAUUCUUUCCUGCUUGCAAGUCCUUAUUUGAUGUCCAAUUGUUCAAAGUCUACGUACUCACGGGUGCUUAUUUUAAAGUCCAAAUUGUCCCAGGAAAAAAGGCAGCGCUCUCCGGCAACGGCUAUGCGGCUUCACUCCACGGAAAUAGCAAUUGACUCACAGCACCGCGCCACUUCCCCCUCUUCACUUCGGAGCCCGUUAGUGGGUUCCUUAGCGGGUUGGGGGGGCGCUAAAGGUGCCCGCCGAGUCCCAUGGUCACAGGCUUCAUCCGCCUGUGAUUUUUAAGAGGGUCCCCGCUUCGCCGUAGCGGAGAAGACCCGUUUUCCGCGGAGCUAGUCCCCCAGUUCAGAGGGAGUCCGCCAUUGCCGGUGGCGCCACCCCGGAAGUCCUCCAGAGACUGUGGUGUCUUAAUGAUAUAUGGUUUACACAUAUAUACAACCUGAACCUGCAAUGGCGGGAUUCACAGCAUUAACACCCCAAGAGGGUCUUGCUUUUCCCAUGGCCACAGCUUUGGAUUCAAAUGGAAAUCAAACAUUGCUCUCAAAUGUUGCUUUGACUCUCUCUCCAGAUUGCUGCUUUACCUAGGUAACAUCACUGUAAACACUCAACUCUCACCUUUCUCUUUUUCUAACUACCAGCCAGUUGAAGGUGAUGGUGGUACCAGCUGUCUCACCCAGAUCCGCUUCCUUUGUUCCCUUAAUGGCCCACCACCCAGGCCAUCACCUCAACAGGAAGCUAGCCUGGCUAUUCCAAGAAUUAGAAGGGGGGGGAGGCAUUAGAAGGGUCUUGGCCUACAGCCUACUCCCACCACCCAAACUCAUAACAAUAAGCAAUCAAAUAAGCUACCCAUACAGUCAGCAAAGUAAACCAGUCCCAACAUGUUUGGGCUUGCAGUUAUUACUCAUAGCAUGUUAAGACUCUUCUGUUGUCUCCUUCAUCUGUGUUUUGUUACACCAAAUUCUUUCCCAGGUGCCUUCAGGUUCACUGACCCAGUUUUCUCAAUAAUAACUAAUAGACCCUGUUCAAUGUGGCUUCUUCUUUGAUGCAAGCAGCACCUUGAAUUAAGGCUGUGAGAGAAGAGAUGAAAGGUCAACAAAGGUUGCUCCUGAUUUGUUCCAUGCCAGUUUGUCCCUGUGGUCCAGUAGAAGCUAAUGCCUUGGUUUCCCCUUUGCUCACUCACUAAGACAAUGGAGCAACAGAGCACUUGUGAAGAAGGGAUGUGCCCGCUGUUCUCUGGCCAGAUAGAUAGCACUUUGAUAUUUGGAUCAAAAGUCUUGCUUUCAAGGGGACAGAAGUUAUUUCCCGGGGAGGGGGGGAGAGGAGAGAGAAGCCUAAAUGGAGAGAGAUUUCACCUAUGUCCAAUCCUGUUCUGUGUCAUUGUCUCCUGUAUCUGCUUUAGCACUAUUCUAGCCCAUUAAUGACAACACUGUAAAUAAGAUAACAACACAGUGCCAUGUAGCUGGCUAGCCAGAUUUGGUUGUGUGAUGAGACUGGUGGCAAAUAAAGUCCACCAUGAAUGAUGGCAGUGCUUCCUGGAUCAGUCCUAUGCAGCCAACUAGAAAUCAUACAGGAUGGUGCCACAACUAUUUGCAAUGUCACUGAAGGCAAACAAAGUGCAUUCAGACAAUGCUUCCUGAAUAUGAAACUAGUUUUGAUCAUUAUGGCAGCUGUGGAGAGGCAGCUGGACUGGACAAACUGGAAGCAAUGCCUGUUUAUGCAGUAUGACUUACUGGUUCAUGUACAGAUGAUUACUGCCCACUCCCCUACAUGCUUAUUCAUUUUGAAGAUGCACAUGUGGUGGAGCAUAUUUGCUUUCUGUUUGUGCAGAGUAGGACCCAUUCCAACAAGUUCAAAUGAUAAGAAAGGAGAUUUCAGCUAAAGAUUAGGAUGGUAUGAGCUGUUUAACAGUGAAGCAAUCUGUGUCAAAAGGAGACAGAACUUUUUAAGCAGACCACUGAUGACCACCUCUCGGUGAUUUAGUAGCGGUGGCUUUUCUGCCUAGGUGGGUGCUGGACUAGAUGACUUUUGAGGCUCCUUCCAACUCUAUGCAUCUAUGAUUGUACUGGGAAAUACUCCUUAACUACAGCAUGCAAUUUGUAGCUUAUUUCCAAACUGUAAAUUGGAUGAUUUUUAGUGUCAAUCUUAUGUUGUAUUUAUUGUAUCUCUUGCAUACCUCCUAUAUAUCUCUUUUAUCGCUUUAGUUGAAGGGCAUUUUAAAAAUAUAACAAAUGAAAAGUAGUCUGUCAUACUUGCUCAGGACUCUUUUUCUUUUUCUGUUUAGGUUAGGGUCCUUUGGUCACCAUCUCCCUUUGCCAUAAUGCCCUUGUGUGACUUAAAUUAUCUGCACUUGGACAGCGGAAUUCUAUCUGUCUUUUACUAAAAAAAAAACAACCUCCACUGAGUUAUGUGACACUUCUAAGAAAAGAUGCUUCUGACUAUAGCCAGAGAGCUCAUGGUCCAUAGCAUCUGUAAAGAUAGAUAGAUAAAAAUCCUGCACAUAAGAGUCAUGAUAUCUUUAUAAAACCCUUUGCAAAAAUUGACUCUGUUCACAGCUAGGAGUCAGGGACAUGUCACAACAGCAUAGGAAUUUGCUGUUAUUUCUGUGGCAUGUUGUUUUCCUCUGUUCUCUGUUCCCUUCACUCCUGGCUUUUGUACAACACCCAGGUCCAUGUCUCUGAACAUCUGAUCAACUGUAGUACUUCUUAGUCACGCACAGUUUCUUAUAGAAUGGGAAGCUUGCAUGGCAGUCUGGAUAGGUUUGGCUAUUCCUCAUGGAUGAGCAUCCCUCUCUUUUUCCCCUCUGAUGCAUUGUGAGCAUAAUGUGUCCUGUCCUGCUGCCAAUACAUCCACAAUAGAUGGCACCACUUCUCUGCAUACAGAUGCGCAGGAAUAAUUCCUCCCCUGUUGCAAUUAUUUACUCAUUUCUUCUAAAUUCUUUUGCCUUCUUGCUCCCUGCCCCCAAGAGAAGAGAUGCAUUGGGAAUUGGACCUAUUGUGAUUUCUGAAAUGAAAUGGCCUGAUUUGCACUUCCCAGAGUCAUGUGUGGAUCAGGUCACAGCUCUCCAUGAGAUUCUGCACUUUUUCUGAAUGUUGCAACAUGAUUCUUAGAAAGAAAAGAUAGAUAUUUAAAUACCGGUAAUCCAAUGCAGAUAUAUAUAUAAUUUAAAAUCCCAAUGCAGAUCCAAGUGGAGAUGGGAAUGGGUUCAUGGUGCAAAUGUGUGAAAAUGACCAUUACUGCAAAUAGUAUCUGUCUAUCCCUGUUUAAUAUACAACAGAACUUAAUUUAAAUCACCUAGACAACUUGAGUUAUGAUCAUCACAGGGACUGGAUCCUCAUGCCUGGUCCUUCUGGCUUUUUAAGAUCUACACAUAUUGCCUUGCUGUACUGAGUCUACUCCCUUUCUUAGUGUUCUGCCCCUUCAUUUGCUUUGAUUUGCUAUCAAGUUAAAUGCAAAAAUAUAUCCUGAGGAGUUAGCACUGGGGAGAAGAGUGGCUGAUGAAAGCACUGUGCUCUGAUUUUUAAAAAAAAUAAUGAAAUGAAAUGGUACAAUUCAAACUUUGUACAAUUUAAAUAUUGUUUCAGAAAUGAAACUGUUUUCAUUAUGCAUGCACGUGAAGGGAUGGUGUGUGCCCUGAUGUGCAUAAUAAGCUUCAACAUAAUCAGUUUUAUCAUGUACUUGACAAAGUAGGCUUUAGUGCACAAUAGCUUGUGCCAUAGAACAUUUGAUACAUACUGUGUGCAUUUUCCCUAUGAGGAAAGGUUGCAGCAUUUGGGACUUUUUAGUUUAGAGAAAAGGUGAGUAAGAGGUGACAUGACAGAAGUCUAUAAAGUUAUGCAUGGCAUGGAGAAAGUGGCCAGAGAAAGAUUCUUUUCCUCCCUCUCAUAAUGCUAGGACUCGGGGACAUCCAAUGAAGCUGAAUGUUGGAAGUUUCAGGACCUAUAAAUGAAAGUACGUCUUUACGCAGUGCAUAGUUUAGCUACAGAGUUGGCUCUCACAGGACACAGUCAUGGCCAGCAAUCUAGAUGGCUUUAAUGGAGAAGUAGACAAAUUCAAGGAGAGUUCAAUCAGUGGCUACAAGCCAUGAUGGUUGUAUUCUGCCUACACAGUCAGAGCCAGUAGUGUUUCUGAAUGCCAGUUGCUGAGAACCAUGGCAGGACAGCGUGCUCUUGUCCUUGUGUCCUGCUUGCAUCCUUCCCACAAGCAUCCUUCUGGCCUCUACCAGAACAGGAUGCUGGACUAGAUGGACCAUUGGCCUGAUCCAGCAGGUUUUUCUUAUGUUCUUAUGAUAGGCAACAAAAAUAACCCCUCUUAAGCCACCUUCAGAACUUCUCCAAUCAUUUCAGUGAAUGUAUGGGAAUGAUAGUGAGAUUUUACUCACUACUCAUGCUCCUUGUUCACAGUUGGGUGAAGGUGGCCGAUAUGCAUAUAGAUGCUAUGGUUUCCACUUCAUUGGAGGUGGCCUUCAUGCAUCUGUUUAUAUGGCAGCCCCCUACAGGCUACCACUGAAUAUGUGGCCAUCAGGCUGCAUCAUCCAUGGAUGAGAUCCUUCUAUCCCUUCACAUGUUCAUUGAAUCCAUAGGCUGGGAAAUGACUUUCAUUGAACUUAGUGGGUCUGAAUGUUUAGGACUUCUCUCUUUGUCUGUUAGAUGCUGUUACUAUUUUUGCUGCAUGAGAACGUGGCUACUGUUUUGGAACUCAUGACAUUACUCAAGGCUCUUCUGUGUGUGAUUCCAAGCCAUACUCACAAAGGUAAAGUGAGAGUGCUUCUAAUAUUCUCUUCAAAAUAGAGAAUAUAUGCCUUUAUACGCCUGGAAAUGGAGGUGUUAUGUCUUCAUUUUUGCUCCCAUGAUGCUUUCUAUAUGGGUGUAAAUUGACUCAUGAUCUGCUCCCAGGGGCGGCUUUUGAGAAACUUGUGGGAUUUUAUCCAUACUCUAAUUGGUAAUCCUGCUUCUCCUUUUUGUGUUUAUUGUGCUUAGAUUAUCUGAUACAGUUCAAUGAAAAUCAGUUCAAUGAAAGCAUGACAUGCCCAAUUUGUCAGCUACAUUACCUCUCUCUGCUUCCUUUCUUGUCAAUGCAGCACCCAAGAUCAGAGUGAGUUUGCACUAGGGCUUUCUUUAUGUCUGAUCCUAUUAGUACUCAUUUUGAUAUAGUAGAGUUAUUCUCCAAAAUGGAAAUAAGGAGAGGGAAAGUAUUCACAUAAUAUAGAAAUGAUUUGAAAUCCAUUAGAGUGGAACAAAAACGUAGCUCAAGAGGAAAAUGGCAUGGAGAUGAAAAUUAAAAAUAAUAAUGAAACUGGAGUGUUGAGAGCCCACUAAAUCAUUCCCAAAAAUUUGUGUAAAAAGUGAAGGUUAUUGCAUAAUCUUCUGGGCUGGAUGAUGGGAAUGGAAUUGGCAUGUAACUCCCCAGUCACUGUAAAUUACAGUGAUCACUAUACUACAUUUUAUUUUAGCAGAAAUGCUGCAGAGUUCCUUAUUGGGUCUUGAUUGCUUUGCACCUGUGACUCCCUUAGUAGGCAAUGCAGAAGAACUAGCUCCAUGCAGAUUUCUGGAAUGCUUUUGUGAAAUACCUCCAUUCAUCAAGGGGGUUGUGAGAGAUACUGCAACACUUCUUCGUGUCUAGGCAUAUACUAUGAAAGGUACAAGAAAAACCUGUCUCCUAAUAUACUGCUGUAUGCUACCCACUUCCUUGAGUGAUGAGUGGUUCCAACGUAAGUACUACCUGGGUUUGGCUUCCUUUGAAGGAGAGAGAGGGAGAGAGAGAGAGAGAGAGAGAGAGAGAGAGAGCAUGCACACUAGUCUGGUUCAUUACAUUUUUUGUAGCAUUUCAGUUGUUGUUGUUUAGUCGUUUAGUUGUGUCCGACUCUUUGUGACCCCAUGGACCAGAGCACGCCAGGCACUGCUGUCUUCCACUGUCUCCCGCAGUUUGGUCAGACUCAUGUUUGUAGCUUCGAGAACAGUGUCCAACCAUCUCGUCCUCUGUCGUCCCCUUCUCCUUGUGCCCUCAAUCUUUCCCAACAUCAGGGUCUUUUCCAGGGAGUCUUCUCUUCUCAUGAGGUGGUCAAAGUAUUGGAGCCUCAACUUCAGGAUCUGUCCUUCCAGUGAGCACUCAGGGCUGAUUUCCUUAAGAAUGGAUACAUUUGAUCUUCUUGCAGUCCACGGGACAUUUCAGUAGUUACCUACAAAUAUGCAAAGCCUAGGCAAGCAACAUACACCCGUCCAAGACAACCAUAACAGCCAGAAGUCCUCUCUCUCUGACUCUCUGUCUGUCUGUUCCAAAUUGCAAGUUCUUGUUUCAUCUCUCUCUCUCCCCUGACUCCUCAUAGCUAGGAAAGUUCUUCAAUAUUGGUUCGGUAGGUUCCCAUUAUGAUGCAAACUGAGCAAACUCAUCCCUCUGCACUCUAGAAUGCUUCCCAGUGACUGCCAGUGAAUUACUUUCCUCAUCUGCCCUGCCCUACUUAAUUAUAAAAUGUAACCCAACCCAAUAGAAAAGCUUCUAUUAUUGUAGGAACAGUGUUGGGGAAGUGAAAAAACCUGCUUCUCUUGAUCAGUUUUGUUGACUGGCCAAACAAACAAACAAACAAACAAACCUAUCACCACCCCUAUUUGACCCAGAAGCAACCAACCUUUCCUACACUGCCUUUGCUAUGUGAGGGGUGUGUGAGAGAGUACCGCUGAGCAAAAUUCAAAGAGGGCUGGCAAAGGGGUGGACACCCUGUGACUGGUUUCUUACAAUCAACUACUUAUGUGCUACAGAAGUCUAGUGCUGGCAGGAAUUUCAAGGUAAUACAGCGUGAUUAGCUGUCCCAAAGCCAGAAUAGCUGCACAAUAUCCCCUUUUGGUUAACCUGUGUAAAUGAGCCUUAGUCGCAAAAAGUUCUCUUACUUAACAAUAACAUUCUGAAUCUUUGUUUAAAUUUGUUUUCUUUUAUAACACUCUGCAUUAAAAAGCGGGGUACAGAAGAAGCAGCCAAGCCCUCGUACUCUUUGAUUGAGCUAGAGAAGUCAGGGCUUCAAAUUAGAAUAAUUUUAGUGGCCAGAAACUCAGACAAUAGCAAGAGCAAUUUUCUUCAAAUUUUGCAGGCAAAUCUCGUUUGACUUCACAGCAAACCUGGCAAUUUUCAGGCCAAACCAAUUUGUGUCAUUUUUUCCCCCUGGCCAAAAUUACAGGGGUCUAAAAAUAGGGUUUAGAUUAUAAUGACAGUUUCUGCCUUUAACCUGUGAACAUGAAAUACAAGUCUCCAUUAUACUGCAGUUCUUGCUAAUUAAGUUGGGGGGGUAGCGACAGGGGAAGAAAGUCAAGUAAACCAUUAAAGCCGUAGUGUUGCCCUAAGUCAACUAUUCUGAGCUUUUUCCUGAGAGCUUUUUUUGGUCUCUCGAUACGAACUCAGAGAUAGGACUUUAAGUAGCGUCUAUGAAAUGUUUUUGAUCAUUGUCAUUCUGUCUUAUUGUCUUUGACAAAUGAUUGUGAUUUGGGGGGCACUUUUGUUCUCUUUGGGAGGGAGUCCUGCAGUGUGGAACAACUGAAUAGUAGUGGCAGGUUGAUUUUAGACCCUAGACUGCAAUAUGCUGCUAUACAAAGCUAUGGACUGAACCUUAAGCGUAACAACAAUUUUUUGUUCCUAUUGUGCUUUAGAGAAGCACCCACAGCCCAAAAUAAUUUUGCUCUUAAACAAAGCUUUCCGAUAAACUACAAACUUUUUGUAAAUGCUUCACAGAUAUGUUGGGGGCAGAACCCAAUAUUGAUUCCAACCCAUCUGAAGUAGUUUAUAUAGUUUAUAUUUGACUUCAGUUUAUAUAUGACUUCAUACAAAAAGAAUCCCAAAUAUAUUUACAGGGGCAACAACAAUGAAUAACCACUUAAACAGAAAGGAUUUAGAUGUAGUGUUGAAAUCUUAUCUGUUAUUUAAAUAUCCCAGUGUACUUUCCGAACUGUGUGUCACUAUAAUAAAACCAAUACUUCGUUGUAAAACCACAGCUGUUCAACAUGUGUUUUCUUAGCUGAGCUCAUGGUAAGUGACUCUUACCUGGUUUGGGGUGGAUGCUGGUUUCACCCCCCACCCCAGGAGCGGAAAAUCCUUUCCCUCACAACUAGCCAUUGGACGUCUUCACAACAGGACACAAUGGGUUCUGGGAUCACCCAGGCCCACUUCAUUCUGGUCCACUGUUGGAGAAUAAAAGCCUGCUGUGGGGAAGACUGUCAACACAGUUGGCGGAAAAGCAACCUGCCUGCCUCACAUGUUGCUUUUAGUUGAUUGGUAUAAUGACCUUGCUGUGGUUUAAAAAUGGUUGCCAUAUUUGGAGCCAGGAAGGAAUUUGCCUUCAAACACAUUGGACCUGUUUGGGGUUUCUGCCUUCCUCACAGCUAUUGUCACAUCUUUCGGCGAAUAAAGCAUUGGGUAAUCCUUAGUCUGGUUUCUGGGUCCAGGGUGAUUUGGGGCUUCGGCCUGACCUCAGGCAGGUGUUUUCUCAUGGUACCCUAGUAAAGCGGUCUGAAUGGAAGUUUCUGUCCUGAAGCCAGGCAUGGGGCAGAAGGGCCAUAGAAGCUCUUUUUUUUACCCAUAUGUGACUCUCUCUCUCUCUCUCUCUCUCACACACACACACACACACACAACAUACUCAUCCCCCAGAAUAGUAUUCCCGUACCUUGCUGUAGACAGCAUAACAACAUAUUCACAGGGCUUCAAUGACUCCAUACGGACAUAAAAAGAACCUGCUGGAUCAGGCCAAUGGCCCAUUUAGUUCAGCAUCCCCACCAUGGCUGAACAAAUGUCUGUGGAAAACCUGCAAUUGGUACGCAAGCAAGCAGUCUCCUCUCCUGCGGUUUACAGAAUCUCCUAUUCAGAAGCAUGCUGCCUUCCUAUGGAGGCAGAGCACAGCAACCAUGGCUGGUAGCCAUCAAUAGCCUUAUCUUCCAUGAAUCUGCCUAAUUCUCUUUUAAAGCUAUCCAAUUUGGCUUUCUAUCACCUGUCUGGAUUCUUUCAACAUGCAGCUUCAUUGGAUGUCCACAAUUUCUAGUUUUAUGAGAAACUAGAGCUUUCUCCAUGCCAUGCAUUUUAUUUUUUUUAUGCAGUUCUAUCAUGUCACCUUUUACUCGAUUUUUCUCUAAACUAAAAAAAUCCUACAAACCUUUCUCAUAGAGGAGUUGCUCUGUCUCCAUAUCAUUUUGGUUGCCCUUUUCCAAACCUCUUCCAACUCCAAUGUCCAUUUUGAAGUGAGAAGACCAGACAGGUACACAGGAUUCCAAAUGCGGCUACAUGGCAUUUACAUUGACAAUUUUGUUUUCCUUUCCUAAUGAUCCCUUGCAUGGAAUUUGCCCUUUUCACAAGUGAAAUGAUGAUUACUGCAUUACUGUACACUUGUUUACACUGAAUUGCCUUUGCCAUUUUACCGCCUAUGCACUGAGUCUCUUUAGAGCAUUUUAGAAUCUCUUUUUAACUAUCCUGAACAGUUUAGUAUCAUCAGAAAAUUGGGCCACUUCGCUGCUCACCCACAACUCUAGAUCAUUUAUGAACUAGUUAAAAAGCAACAUAUCCCUCUGUCCAUCCAUUCAGGGAACCAUCCCUUUAUUCCUGCUGUUUCCUAGUCCACAAGAGGACCCUCUCCUCUUAUUUCAUGACUGCUCAGCUUACUCAAGAGUCUUUGGUUUGGGGAUGUCAGCUGGGAAUCACUCCUUUGAAUUGUUUCAAACUAGAUAUGUUGAUCAAAAUGUUAUUUAUUGUAACUUUCUUUCAUGGCUGUCAUUGUGCAUUUAUCCAUUUUCACCGUAAUGACAUCUUCCUUUCUCUCUCCUCCUCUGGGUCUCAUUAUCUAAUUCAAAACUGGCAGGAUUCCUGCUUUAAUUGGAUGGUCUUGGCUGUGUUUCCUGGGCACUGAUACGCUGAUUCCAAGGUGAAGGAGUGGUGCCCUUGUAGUUGACAGCUGGGAUAGAUUUUCAGCAGUCGCUGUUUAGAAUUGUCACCUUGCAGCUGGGCCUUUGCCCAGACCUUGGACUGGAUAUUGAAUGCCAAGGACCCAGAAGCCAAGUUGCAGCCUUGCACUGUGAUCUGGAGUACAAGCUGGUAGCUGUCACUCUGAACAGACACUAACGGCUUCCUGCUGACAUCUUCUGUAGACCAUGGUGGCCAAUUGGGAGUGAAGUGUGUGUGACCAGUCAGCUAAUUAGAGAAAACAUUGCCUGCACACAAAUGAAGCCAUUGAUGGGAAGCCUCCACUGUAUAUGCACAGAACUUUUCUACAUGUCCAGGUUUUAUUAAGUGAGCAUUUGUUAUAAACUACAUUAAUAUCUAAAAUGAAAAGUCCUUAAAGCCUGCCUGGGCAUAUCACAUUUUCCCGGGAAGCUGAAAUCCACAAUGAGAGACACUUCUUUUAGUGCCAAGCGACAAACACUUUGCACAUGCUUAGACACAUUCUUCUUUGUCUGAUUUUUGUCAGUUCCAGCCUAAGCCCUAGCUCAUAUUAAGCCCUGAUUAUAAAUGAAUCUUUCCACUGGGCUUUGCCAAUGAAGGAAUCUUCUGAUUUUGUUGACUGUUUUAUCAUAAACUGAAUCCACAGAGUCUAUAAGCACCAAUAAACUUUUGUGCUUCCCCCUUUAUCUCUACAAUAUAUUUUCUUUUAAUAUUUACUAUGGACUAUUUUAUUACAGGUUAGAAAGAAAACUGGGAAUUAUCUGACAGAUAAAGAACAGAGAAGCGGCUGAACUCUAAAUUACGAACCAUAGCAAAUAACUGUUAUAAUCCAUUUGCGGUUUCCCACCCCACUCUUCCCCUCCUUCCUUCUCC
Molecule: long non-coding RNA, 44846 nt
Filed under: Podarcis lilfordi (Lilford's wall lizard)
Lineage: Eukaryota; Metazoa; Chordata; Lepidosauria; Squamata; Lacertidae
Source: RNAcentral